RNAcentral lists this long non-coding RNA (50296 nucleotides) under Medicago truncatula (barrel medic). RNAcentral's name for it is "long non-coding RNA (MTRU_LNC001546)". The stretch from base 39795 to 39994 matches the Rfam family "MIR2619 microRNA precursor family". Lineage: Eukaryota; Viridiplantae; Streptophyta; Magnoliopsida; Fabales; Fabaceae. The record is from RNAcentral.
UUUUGUCAGGUAGUCUAGUUGUUAGAAUUCACUUUAUAGAAUGAAUAAGUGGAGUCUUUGGGGUUCGAACCUCAACCCCUGCAUAUAAUAAUGCAUUGUCCUAUCAACUGAGCUAUUUCAGGAGACAUUUUUUUAGUAUGCCUUUAUAUGGUAGCAUUUGACCAAUAUUUUAUUAUUGGGCAUUAAUUAGUAUUUAUCCCAUUUAACUUCCUUGGGUUUUUAUUUUAUUUUUGUUCUACCAUUAUUAUUGAGAAAUUAAAGUCUUUCUUGAAUCUAUUUAAUUCCCAUGUAACCAAAAAAAAUAAUAUAUUUAAUUCCCUUAGAAGGUCCAUGCAGCCAGGUCCCUAAAAAACAUCUUUUGCUAGCCUUGCCAAAUACUAGAAUAAAUACUGGCUCUCUUCCUCGACAAAAGUUUGUGACAUACAAAAAUACAACACAAACCAAACCACUCUCAUAAUCUUUUUGAUCCAUUCAAAAUAUUUGAUUUGUUCUCCAACUAUAUCUAUUUAACGAUCUUUCUAAAAAUAUGUCUUUGUUUCUUCGUACUUGUAAGAUUUCCUUGGAGUAAGUGUAUUGAGCUAGAAAGUAAAGCACUUUAAGGUAAGAGUUUUUUCCUCAUACAUCCAUACUAAGUGCUAAGAUUAUGUUUUGAAAUAGUUGUAGAAAUUCUUGUCAUUUGAAAGAAUAAAAAAUAUAAUAAUAAUUAAAAUAUAUAUUUAUUAAAGUUUGGAUUUAUUUAUGAAAUUUAUAUAUGAGAAUAUGGUAUUGAUUUGUAUUAUGUUUUAUAUGCUUCGUGGUGUUUGUGAAUAAAAAGAUAUAAUUUGUGUAAGAUUUAAUUGUGUGGUUGCCUUAGUGUCUGAGUUUUAUUUUGCAUUUUCCUAGCAUAUGCAUAGCAUGUGUGGCUUGUUUCAUUAUCAUGACAUUUGCAUAGCCUUUGUGGCUCGUUUUAACCGAUGUGGCUCGUUUAGCCUGUGUGGUUCGUUUAUAUCCGGAUCAUGUAUUACUUAAAAGCAUAACAUGCAUCUUAUGCAUAAUUUAAUUUGAGUUCUUUUUCAUAAAAUAUGGCUUGAGUGUGUUUUUAUUUCUUUUUGAUCGAAAAGUUUUUAUACUGUCUAUUUUAAGACAUUGUUUAUUUCUUGUCCUUUGAGUAUGAACCAAUUUGGAUAAGAAAAUUGACCCUUACAUUAAUAUAAUGUUGUAGGUACCAAAGAUAAAAUAUGAAGCUCGAUGUGUGAUGAAACGUUUAUGGGGCAAAUUGGGUUAUCAAUGAAAAAGAAACUAAUUUUUAUUAAUUUGUAAUUGUAACUUUUAACAUAUUUUUAAACUCUAUUAUUUCUUUCAUUGGGAAUAAUAAAUCUUACGGAGUAAUUUUCUAUUGAUUUAUUUUUUAAAGUUCAUCUUUCUAUUAGUUUCGUUCAAACAUUUUGUUAAAAAAAUAUAGUCUCAUAUUUUCUAAAGAAAUUAAUAAUUUUUAAUUAACGUCUUGGAUGAAAAUCCAGGGUGUUACAUCUUCUUGAAAGCUCUAAACGUUGGCUUGAAAGUUAGUGUUAGCGUUAGUUCGCCAAUAGAGCUCGUUUAGUUCAAUGUUUAUGAAGGCUUACAUUUCGUAGGCGAGGCAAAAAGGUGACUCAUCGGUGGUCAAGUGAGCGGUCGUUCGAUAAGCCUAUAGGACUAUAUGAAGUUCUUCCGCUCAGUUAGUUUUGGCUUCGUCUAACCUUAUGUGUAUCUUGCAAAGGAUUACUUUGUUCGUUGAUUCUACUUGCAUGUUUGCUUAAGGGUGUUCGACAUAAGUAAAGUUGUGUUUGAUAUUCAAGUUUCUUAGAUGGUCUUGAAACCUGCGAUCGGUAAACUUAAUUUCGUUGUCAGAGAUCACGAGGGUCGGUACUUCGAACCUUGUUAGGAUGUUUCUCUUGAAGAAACGUAGUACGUUUUUCGAUUUGAUCUUCGUGAGGGGUUCAGCUUUGAUCCAUUUUGUGGAGUAGUCCACUGCUACCACCAAAUCUUUUAUCUGUUUGCAGAUAAGUAAGCAGUGGUUAGGAUUCUUUAAUCCUCAAUAUUUAUUUUGUUGGAUUUAAAUAACAGUCAUGUAGAGUUUAGUUAUCUUAAGUAGACUAUACAAGUGAUGAGGAUGUUGGGACAUUCUAACGUAGUCAGUUGUCAAGUUACACCUGUUGAUCGCACGGAGAUCCUUACGUGCGGGGUCUUGCUAAUUCAAUGGUAAUUGAAACAUAAACUUAAAUUGGUGUUCCUAGGUUUCCAAAGGCAAUAAAGGCCAACGUUCUCUGAAGGUCUUACCAUCUAUGAAUCUUAGGACACUCUUAGCACACUACAAACGGGCAGCCCAAUCAGCAUCUACCUUACCUAGAGGUCGAGGAUAAUGAUAUCAAUAUGUACACUCCCUUUGGUGCUUGUUUCCCUAAUUAAUAACUAGUUACAUCCUAGGUUCAGUAGAUUUUACUCGGUAUUAGUAAUGUAAACUUCUAAGUACUUACUACCAGGGUCAAGUCGCUUUCAGUAUCUUUCGUCCAGUUACUAAUCACUUACUUCCUAUAUAGAUAGAUAUUAGUAUGCGGAUUUAAAUAUCAAGAUAUAAGCAUCCAGAAAGUAACAUCAAUAUUAGGCUCUGUCACAACCUAAGUACCUAAUACAGGGUCGCACUUCCCCAAAUUAAAUUAAUCAUAACAAAACUUAAUAGCGAACAGAAAACAUACUAAAAUAAACGACAUUAAAUUAAAUAAUUAUCGAACAAAACAAUGAGAGGUUCAUCUUAGAACCCAAGCCUAUAAAUGAACGAUAUUAAAUUAAAUAAUUAUCAAACAAAACAAUGAGAGGUUCAUCUUAGAACCCUAGCCUAUAAAUAUCUAGUUACACAUGAUAACUAAGACAAAAAACAAAAAGAUGACAACAUACUCUAAAAAAGAUAUGAGAAGAUAGAGCUCCUCCUUGGCUUCUAGAAUCGCCUUCCUCUUGAAGUGUUCUAGUUCGUAAUGAGAAAUUGUGAAUGAUAAAGGCGAUAUUUAUAGGGAAAGUUUCCACCUAACUUGGGCUAAAAUUAUGGGCUUUCAAAGGCGAAAAAGUUACAAAAAGUGACUUUUUUCGCAAGUAAUGGGGCGCCUAGCGCCUAGACCAUGCGCCAGACACAUGUUCCUUGGAAGUAUAGGCGCUAGCGCCUACUUCCAUGCGCGUGGGAGCUUUUGUGCUGCUUCUGGGCGCCUAGCGCCCCCCUCUGUGCGCCUGGGCACUUCAGUGCAUUUUCGAUGUUGCAAUGCCAGUUUUCUUCGCCUGUUGAGGUGUUUUCUUCAAAGUAAAAUGUACUGGAACUUGAGAACAAAAUUCCUCCCUUUGUAAAUUCUUCUGAGGCCUAUUGAAUAUUCAUUCUUCAUUUUGCCAGGGUCCACAUAAAUCUUCGGAUGUCUUUUCCUUUCCAAUUUGCAUGAUUUCUUCAUAGGUUUUCACAUCUAUGAAUCUUAGAAGUACCUAGCACACUUUCUCUUUCGAUAGUUCUACAAACAGUCAACCCUAUCAGCGUCUACCUUACCAAGGUGUGAGAAAAAUGGAUUUAUUGGGUUGCUUUAAGUCGUAAAGUCACUUGUUUCCUUAAUUACUAACUAGUUACAUCCUGAUUUCAGCAAAUUUUACUAAAUAAUAAUUAUGUCACCUCCUAAGUACUUACUAUCACGAUCCACUCGCUUUCGGUUUCUUUCGCUAGUUACUAACUAAUUACUUCCUCAUUAGACAGAUAUAAAUAUCAAAAUAUAAAUAUCAAUAUUAGGCCUUAUCACUACUAAGUGCCUAAAUCAGGGUAGCGCCCCAUAGGAGACAAAUCUUACGCACUAUAUUAAAAAUAAAUAGCAAACAUAAAAUAACUGAAUAAACGACUUUAGAUUAAAUAAGGGUCUUGUUAACGAGUGCCUCCGGGGCACUCUUUAAGCAUACUAUAUUAAGUAAUUAUUUUUUCAAAAUGUCAAAGUUUUCAAUUUCCAAUGCACUGAUUACACAAACUUUCAUAAAAAAAGUUACCAUUUAAGCCCCUUAAGUAGUGCCCCGAGGGCACUAGUUAACAUUUUCAAUUAAAUAAUUAUCCAACAAAUAAAAUAGAGGUUCAUCUUAGAAACCUAACCUAAAAAGAUUUAGUUAUCCAUGGUAACUAAAAACAAAUUACAAAAGAAAUAAAGCAUACCCUAGAACAAUAUGGAGUAAGGAGAGAGAAACUCCUCCCUAGAAGCUCCUAGUGAUCGCCUUCGUCUUGAAUCGCUUCGCUCUGAACGAUAAAAUAGUGAUGAGGAAGACAAUAUUUAUAGGGGAACUUUCCACCUGAUAUUGGGGCAAAAACACGGGCUUUCUUCACAAAAAGUCACAAAACAGCGUCUUACGCCGCAAGGCACAAGCACCUAUAGCCAUUCGACAGGCACAUGUGUGUAGCAUGCCAGCACCAGGAGCCUCCUUUUCAUGUGCCAGGCACCCCAGUGGAGGUUUAUGGGUGCAUGGGCCCCUCUUGUGCGAUGCACGCAUGAGUGUGUCGUCCGGUGCUGAAAACACAUGUUUCUUCACCUUUUUAAGUGUUUACUUCAAUGUAAGAUGUCUUGGAACUUGGGAACAAAAAUACUCCCUUUGUAAAGUCUUCUAAGGCCUCUUGAAUCUUCAUUCUUCAUCUUCCCAAGGAAUUCACAAAUCUUUAUAUGUCUUGCUUUAAUGAUAUGCAUGAUUUCUUCAUGAAUUACAUCAAGAACAUCCUAAAAUUGCUAUGUUUUUGGAAGAACAAAAUUACAUAUUCAAUUAUAGAAAACAUUACAAAUGUCCCUAAAUCAUGGGAAAUUGCUCUAAUACUCAUCUGUUAUGCUGGUAAAACAUGCUGAAAAUGAUUGAAAAACAUGCUAAGAAUAACGUAAGAUAAUCUGUCAUCACAACCCCAAAUUUAAAUUGUUGCUUGUCUUCAAGUAACAAAAGAAAAACAUAUUUUAUUCUUUGAAUUUUUUUUUUCCAGGAAAAACAUACAUUUCCAAACUUGUGUUCAGAACAUCAUUCAUCACAAUCACAACAUUUACAAACUUAUCUCAUUACACUCAAGCGGGACAUACUUGAAGAAGAUAACUCAUGCUCAACCACACUCUUUUCCAUGAUACACGCAUGUAUCUUUUAAAGUCAAUAUGGCUGAUCACGACAUUUUCCCACUCCAGUCGUCACAUCAAUGUACCUUGCUAUAAAUUUGAAACAAUUCUAAAUAGACAGUCAAAAUCAAUUUAUAUACACACUUUGAGGACUUUAAGGGUUAUAACAUGGCUUAGUUUAAGGGUAGAUAUAUUUGGAAAAAUAGGCUAACAAAGAAACCUUGGAGUUAGAUUAUCAACCUAGGGAUUCCUACUAAACAUUAAUGCCAACCUUCCUUCCUCGAAUUAAACAAGAUGGGUACUAAGUAUAACUAUUUAUCUUUUUCUUUCAACAUAAAUAAACAUUUUUUUGAAGAGAUCAAAAUUUUUGAUGUUCUUCGCUUUUUAGUUUUAUCUUUUUUUCUAUUUUUUUUGUAGAGCCAUGAUAAUCUACAUUUUUUUUUAUAAAUAAGUUCUACUAGUACCCCACCCCAAACUUAAAAUGUUUCUAAUUCAAAAGAGUAAUCCCAAACUUAGCUUCAAAUCAUACCAAGUCAUAAUAAUAAUCUAUCUAACUCCAUGAGAAAUCAAACAAAUUGCAUUUAAGGUUCAGGGUUGUGACAUGAUUCUUCACUUAAUAACAACAAAAGAUAUUGCAUCUAGAGUCUCAAAGUGGUUUCACAAAGUAUAAUAAGAAUAUAAAAGGAUGACUUAAAAAGCUCAAGGUACCAAAGAAAAAAUUGCCUCGUGUAAAUAUAGCCAUGUUGCACGGCAAAAGUUAUCAUGCAUAAGGAAAUCCUUAUGCACCGUGCAUAAACACUUCACAACCAUCAAAUCUAAUGUACACGUGUAAUAAUCCAAGACUUCUUAAACUACACCAAAUCAAGGAAUAAAGGAAAGAGGUAUAUCUUCAUUUUUACAAAAAAAAACCUCUCACUGAAAAUGUUUUCGUCACUUCUCUCUCUAGGACAUUCAAACCAACGCGACCUUAUAUCUUCUUCUCCAGCAAGAAUUGCUUUUUCGGCGCAGUGGCCGGUGAUGGCACCACCGCGUCGAAACUCAAAACUCCGUCGUUUCAAAAACAAAUUAUAUAUUCAACAAUCCUUUUCUUCCUACUUCUCAUUUUUGAAAUUGUUUUUCAAAGACAAACAGUAAACAAGCGUAGAUCUAAAGAUUAAGAUAUGAACAGAAAAACUUUCUACCUCCUUCUCUUUGAUCAGUUCAAUUCUUGAUGGGACGAAACAGUGUUUGAGCUUAGUGAUUUUGGUGGCUUUGUAGUGAAAACUCAAAAUGAAUUGCUGAAAAAUGAAUUUACUAUUCAAGAAGAAGACACCGCCGGUGGAGAUUUUGGUGGUUUUGGAGUAGAACUCACAUAAACCAUUUCCAAAGCAUAAUGGUUUUGGAGUACAACUCACAGAAACCAUUUCCACAACAAAAUGAUUUUGGAGUACAACUCACAGAAACCAUUUCUUUCCUCCUCCUCCAAUUGUGUCAGUCCAAAACUGAAUGAUGGCAAUGGCUCUAGGUCCUUAGUUUUUUUCACCUGUUGGAAACUAUUAAGUACAUCUAAUGAUUUUGGAGUACAACUCACAGAAACCAUUUUCACAUCAAAAUGGUUUUUGCAUAAUUUGAUACAAAACAUAUAAGGACAUUUGUGAUUGUCAUUGAACCAAAUCAACACUCUGAAACAAUUUCCAACUAACAUAUACAAUUUUGAUUGACGGUGAUGAUGAUGAAUGACGGUGGUGAUGAUGAUGAUGAUGUCGGUAUGGUGAUGAUGAUGGUGAAUGACGACGAUGAUGGUGAACGACGGUGUUGAUGAGAUUGAAGAUUCCGGUGGUGAUGAUGAUGAACGACGGUGAUGAUUCAGUUUGUUUCCGCCUUUGGUUCGUUUUGUUUGGUCCUGCGUUUGAUUUCCUUUGGGGGUGUAGGAAGCAAUUAUGUUGGACUACCGGUUAAUGGGCAGGGAUUUAUGCACGAUACAUAAGGAAAUCCUUAUGCAUGAUAACCGCACCCAUGUUACACAGCCGUAUAAUAUUUCUCUUUAACUACUUGAGAAAAAAAUUUAGAGGGAUUUCCUUACCCAUGUUACAUGCUUGAUAGUGAUCUCCCAUUUUUUUUUAUUUGCAAGCUUUUCUAUUUAUCCAAUCAUCCUUUCACACUAAAAUUUAGAGGGAGAUAGAAAUAAAUUUUGAAAGGAGAAAAUAAAUAGGAGAUCUCAGUUAAAAAAGAUGCAAGUGGUGGUCGCAAAAAGAUAUAAUGUUUUGUUGCAUGACUUUUCCACUUCACACACGAGAAACACCCCUAAAAUUGUAAGCUUGUGCACUUUUCCGUUUUAAAUCGAGAUUUUAACCACCAUACCUGGUAGAAUCUAAAAAAAGUAAACAUUGACAGUAUCUAAGUGAUAACGAUAAACUACGAAAAAAUGAACUCUUGCUUUCAUAAUAAGUUCUCUAAAUUCAUAAUGAAGUCCAUGGUGGCUUUAUUUUGCAAUACAAUUGCAUGGUACUCAAUCACAAGGAUUAGAUGUAUGUGUUUUAACUGCACGCUUGUGCAGUCCCAACAAACAUCGAAAUUCUUGUAUCACCACUGUGACCAAAAUCCGUUAGACUUGCAAUACAAGUAAUUCCAAAGACGAGACACUCAUAGUUCAUGUAUCUAGAAGGAGCAUUAUUCAAAAUUGAGGCUACUACUUCUAUAGACAAAAAUAAAGCAGCUUAAGAGAGGCAAGAGUAAGCCAAAUUCUUUUCCUCGGACAGCUCUUCGGCUGUCAAGUCCAACUUCUUCCUUGAAAACUCAUCAAUUGAAAGUCCUGGAUAAUAAAAAAAGUGAAGAAAUUGUUAACACUACAAAAUUUAACUAAAAUUUAUCAGUCAGAUCAUUAAAAAAUGUUUCUUUAAUUAUCACCAUGUCUAAAGUCACAUAUGAUUCAUUGCGAUUAGUUGAUAGCGUAAAAGAGUAUAUAAUUAAAAAAAGGCACUUUUUUUAUAAUGAAAGCACUAAAAAAACUUUUUUCCAGAAAAUGUCAAAGACUACAAAUUAAUUUUAAGCACUAGAAAAAAGAAUAUAAACUGGUCCGUAAUUUCAAUUCCAUUAGAAAAGCACCCCACCAGGGAGUAUGAGGAUUGUAAAAUCAAGUAUAUAGCGAAUAAUAAACACCAGCAAAUUAUGCAUGGGUAUAUAUAGUAGGUAAGUUGAAAACUACAAGAGGAUUAGCACAUAACAAAAACCGACAACUUAAGCAUGAGGGUGUUUUAACACUUAUGAUUGUGAUGGAUGUUAUGGUUUGUAAAAACAAAAAAGGUCUUUUUCUACCGAGUAAAGUGAACAUGCACGGGUGUUUUACCAGUUAUCAACAAACACCAAAAACUGAGGGGAAACGAUUCACCUUUUAAGAUUCAAUAUGCAAUAAAGUGAUUAAAACUUACCUUGAACUAUUUUCCAUUCACCAUUGGCACAGGUAACAGGGAAUGAAUAGAUCAAUCCAGAUGGUACAUUGUAGGAACCGUCAGAAUACACUCCCAUUGAAACGAAGGUACCCUAACAUUACAAUGGAAAAGAAAAUAAGCCGGUCUGGAAGCAAAUACAGAAGAAUCAUAAGUAAAGAAAAAUCAAAAUGUAGCCAACCUGGGGAGUUCCAAGAACCCAAUCGCGAAUGUGGUCACAGGCAGCACUAGCAGCAGAUAGAGCACUUGAAAGCUUUCUAGCCUUAAUAAUUGCAGCACCACGUUGUUGAACAGUGGAAAUGAAUUCUCCAUUCAACCUAAAUAGAGAAAAGUUGAAACACUUCAAUAUACAAAUAAUUUUGAAUUUUUUUUUGCUAAAGAUCAUACUCCCCCAGUUCCUUUUUAACUGUUGUUUUUGUAGAGAAUUUGUUUCUAUUUACAUGUCAAAAUUGAAUGCAAUAUGAACUAUUCUUUUGCAAAUAAUACCCUUCACUAUUUAUGGCAGAGAGUAAUAGGUGAAACGAAAUCGUAAAAAAUUAAGGAUGGUAUAGUAAAAAAAACAUAAUUUCAUCAAAAGUAACAAAAUUUAAUGUUUUUCUUGUUAUGUGUAAAUAUCUAUAAAACGUCUAAAAAUGAAUGGAGGAAGUGAGUUUAAAGUGUUUGUGAUAUACCAUGCAUCAUCGGAAACAAGUUCGCGGACAGGCUUCUCCCCAGCUGGGGUGUUAACAGUUGCAUGGUUGACAUCAGGAUACUGGGUUGAUGAAUGAUUACCCCAGAUUAUGACAUUCUUUACAUCAGAAACUUGAACAUUCAAUCUUUCAGAAAUUUGUCCCAAAGCCCUAUUGUGAUCCAGUCUAGUCAAACAAGAAAUGUUUCUUUCUGGAAUAGAUGGAGCGAAUUCCUUCAAGAUCAAUGCAUUGGUAUUUGCUGGGUUAGCAACAACCAGAACCUGCAAGAUAAUGCAAAGCCUUCUGUAAAUUUUCCAAAAAAACGCAUACAAUACAACUAAACUGCUUGUUUUCAAAUAAAAAGGUACUCAAUUCAUGAAUAAAAUUAGACUCCUUGGCAAUGAAAUCACGUGGACUUCAUCAUAUGGAAUACCCUUGCACAAAUAUGAAUAAAGUGGAGUGUUUUCCCAAGCACCUAAAUUCAUCUGAACAUUUGAAUCUCCUAAACCUCAAAGAGGCAAAAGUUUGGCAUAUAGAUAGAAGAAUUUAGAUACAACUGCAUACACUGCAACUCCAAAUGUCUUCAUUGUGAAAACUAACAAAUAAAAUCAAUAUAUACAAUCAUAUUUCAUAGUCUUUAUAUCCAGCAUAGUCUCAAACAAACCGAUACAACAACCAAGUUUUUUGCCACUAAAUGGGGUCAGCAACAUGGAUACAUCCAUAGUGUUUUGUCGUGAAUACAUUCAUAGUGUUAUAUAGUAGAAGAAUCUCAGACUAAUAAUUUUUAAUUAACAGACAACUAACAUGUGCCAAAGAAUAACAGUUUAUUAAAAACAAAGAAAAAAGGGAAGAACACCAAAUACAUGUAUAUAUUUGACAUGAUAAUAGUAUUUUAAAUAAGGUCAGACUGGCUGGUUCAAUUGGUCUGACUGAGAGCCUAUCACAUAAUCAAUAUGAACCACUAAUUGUAUAGAAAAUGCAUACAAAAGGGUAAAAACUUGUUCUACAUGACCAAUUUAGUAGUACCGCAGGUUCAACCACAAGUUCUAUUACCAAGAAAUGAAAUAUUAUAGGUUUAUAUGUUCUUUAUACAAUAGAAAAUGAAGUGACAUAUAAUUAUAUAAUAUAUUACAUAUGGAAUUAAAAAAAUAUUAAUGAUUAUGAUAAUGUUAGGCUGUUUCUUCUCAGAUAAUGUCUAAGCAUUACAAAAGAAUAUUCUAUAUUAGAAUCACGAAGUUAAAAAGUACUCCCUCCGUUUCAAAAUACAUGUUCAAGUCAACCACUUCACAUAUGCCAAUGCACAACUUUGCCUGUUAAUAUCUUUAAUUAUCUAAAGUAAAAAAAUUAUAAAAAUUUAAUAUUUUGAAAAUACUUGUCAAGACAAAUCAAACAACAUCUUACAUGCUAAUAUUUGUAUUUAUACAUUAGUUAAAAAGUAUGGUCAAAGUAAGUCAAGUGAAUAAUGCACAUUGCAAAAAUUGGACAUGUAUUUUGAAACGGAGGGAGUAAAUUUGAAUGUCUACCAAAAUAUGGUAGGGAUUUUUAAAGUAUGAUAUGAUCAUUUUUUUUUUUAAAAAAAAGAAAAAAACUUGGUUGUAUAAAUUUAAAUGUAUGAUGUUUUUGAGGACCCCUUCCCGGCCCCUGCAUAUGCGGGAGCUUUAAUGCACCAGGCUGCCCUUUUUCUAUAUAUACCAGUUCUCAAGCAGUUAGCCAUUGACCCGAUGACAUGACAAAGUCAAUUACAACAUUGCAUACAAAGUUGCAGAAGUCUGAGUUUACGAUGAAAGGGAUUACCUUGCAGUUGGCAGCAGCAUGCUUCUCAAGGGCAGAAGCCUGAGACUUGUAAAUAGAGACAUUCUUAGACAUCACAUCCUUCCUCUCCAUACCUUCUUUUCUUGGGAAUCCACCAACCAUGACAGCAAUAUUGACUCCAGUGCAUGCCUCGACAACAUCAGUUGUAGCAACAACACCUGAAACAAAUAAUUUCACACGACUUCAAACAAAAGUUGAUCGUGCAUACGAGUCUAAGAUUUCAACCCAUCAAGUUUAUGAAACAUUUAAUAUGGAGGAUAAGUUAUACCUUUAAGAAGUGGAAAUGCAGCAUCCACCAACUCCAUUUUAACUCCAUUCAAUGACUCUGCUGCAGGAGCAAUAUCAAGCAUGUGAAGAAUCACGGGUUGAUCAGGACCGAGCAUCACUCCCCUAGCAAUCAUUGGGACAAGAGCAUAACCAAUUUGCCCUGAAAUUUGAUAGAACAUUAUAUCAGUACAGAAAAAUCAACCGACCCAGAUUCCCUUCAUGCCGUUAGAUCAAAAUUAGACGGUCUAGAUUAAAGUAAAUCAACAGCAUUAUAAGCCGCAGAUUAAAUUCAGUAGUCACUACAUUUUCAAUUAUGAACAUGCAACUUUCUUAUUCAGGCCAUAUCACAAAUUCAACAAUGUAAACCCACUACACAUAAAAUUUGGACAGGCUAGAUUGAAGAUCCAUAAAAUGAAUUAAGAAAAUUUAGAAAAUACAUGAGUAAAGACUCAAUUUGAUCCCUCGCAAUUUUCUCAGGCCAAUUAAGUCCCCUACAAAAAAAUUAAAUCCAAACUAGUCCUAACAUUUAUACCGGGGACAAAUAAGUCCAUCUGUCAUAAUGAUUCGUGGAUUAAUUUGUCCUCGAUAUAAAAAAGGUGACUAAGGUGGGUUUAUUUUGUGUCGGGGACUAAAUUGGAUCGAGAGAAAAUUGUGAGAGACCAAAUUGAAUCUUUCAUUAAAAUACAUAUAUAGAUAGAUCAAUCAAUCAAUUAACAGCUACAUAUGAAAGAUUCAAAAAUAGAACACUGAUCAAUAAAAACUACACAAAUAACAGCAUAAUAACAAUGAAAUAAAUAAACACAAAACAUCAUCGUCAUUCAUCACAUGAUCAGAUCCGAACCCAUGAACAGAUCAAGAUCGAAACAAAACAAAGACAACAUUUUGAAACGAACCCAUUAUUUAAAAUCAGAAAAAUCAUCAGAGGAACAUGGUUGGAUCAUAGAUCUCGAAUAAAAAUGUAAAAACAUUAAGAUUAAAACAUGGGCGAUGAAAACAAAUAAUAGUUUAAAGUGAUGAAAGGAGUACCUGCGGCACCAGUGACAAGAACACGAACUGGGUCUUUGGCCAUUUUUGAUGAAAUGAAAGGAAUCGAAAAUGGAAGAUUGAUGAGAAGAGAAACAAGAGUUUUUGUUUGAGAGAGAGAAGAGUGAGUGAUGUAGUGUUUGUUUGUGCUGUGUGAUUUGUGGUUUUAUUUGUGUGUAUCUGGAGACAGUGUUGCCACGUUAUGAGGACGUGAAACGACACUUCUGUGUCGCGUUUAAGGAAUGGCUUUGGUGGUAAGGCUCUAAUGUCUUUGGGAAUACUCUCCCUAUCAAGUCCGGAUACUCCAAAACGGAAACGUACCCGUAUCAGAUACGUAUUAAAUAUCGAUACUUCACAGAUACUCUCGGAUACGUAUCCAUAAAGUGUCUGACUUAAAUAAUUUAAUUUCUAAAAAAUAUUUUACCGGAUACUUAUAAGAUAUUUCAUAGAUACAUCAUAAUACUUAUAAGAUACUUCACAUAUACGUAUCAUAGGACAAAAAAUGAAGGGUAAAAAAGUGAGACAAUGUUGUGAAAUUCAUUGGAAAUGUAUAUGAUUCAAUUUUAGAUAUGCAUCAGUAUAAUUGUUUCUUGAUGAACCACUUCAAAUUACACUUCUUGCGGAUAAAGGUAACGAGAGAGAGAUAUUCAACUAAUCAACAUUAGACAAAUUUUGCAUAAGUUCUUUUAAUGAUGCAUCUCACGAUAUCUCAAUGUAUAUGAAUGAAAAUAUAAUAUGGUUUAUAAGAAAACUUUACAUUUUUUAUUUUGAUCGAAUGUAUUAUUUUUAUAAUAGUAUAAUAAUCAAGAGUAAUCAAUGUUUAUUUCUUCAAGUAUUUUACAUGCAUAUAAGUGUUAGUAUAAAAAAUUUGUUAACGUAUCUUAACAGUAUUGUAUCAUACUCGCACUCGUAUCAGUAACCCGGCUUCAUGGUACUCUACUAAUUCGGAGUUCACGCCACAAAAUAAGUACUACUCCUUUGGGAAAUAGGCUUAUUUGAUUCAUUGAUCCUCUAAAUAAUUUAAAGUUUUCAUUUUGGUUCCACAAUUAAUAAAAUUCACGUUUUAGUCCCUCAUUUUUUCUUCCGUUUGCCAAAUAAAUCCCUGGUUGUUAAGUUUAAUCUCAAAUGUCUAUGGUAGACCAACUUUAAAAGUGAUCCACCAUAUACCUUAUUAAAAUUUUUAGUUUAAACCCUUUAAUCUGUUUUUUUUUUUAAAAGAUGUUCAUUGGAUUCUGCGUAUCUAUUGUAACGUACGAUGUACCAACAACAAUUAAUUUUCUCUUUUCUUUCUUUCUUCGUCUUCUACCUUACCGAUCUUCAUCAUCUUCAACUCACAUUUUCAAUAGAAUUAUAAUGAGCAACCAAUAUCAAAGAUACCAUAUAUCAAUGUAUCUCAUGCUUAUUUUGAUAUAUCAAGAUACCAUAUAUCAAUGAAUCUUCACCAUAGACCUUAAUUCUAACAGUGAUAUAUCAAAAUAAGCCUAUUGAAAUUAUUAUGAGCACCCAGUAUCAAAGAUACAAUCUAACAGUGUAUCUCAUGCUUCUUUGACAGAUUCUUCAACACCUACCUUCUCGAAAAUGUCAACAUUCACACACUGGUGAAUAAUGAACAAAGCUUUGUAAUCUCCAUUCUUCUUUUCUUUGUGUGUAACUCUUCAUGAAUAGCACAAUCACCAAGGGGCUCUAUCCCAUUUUGCACCAAAUCCCAAUCAUCUUUGAAACCAAACACCAUCUUCAUUUGUUUUGUAACAGCUAUAAAAAAUUAUUUCCGUCAAGAAUUGGAAGGUUUUCAAAAAAGUUUUCGUUUGUGCAUGCGCGUCACCAUUGAUGAAUCUCUAUAAUCUCAACCAGAGCACUUGAUGCCAGAUGUUGAAAAUUGUACUUGUUGUUAAUUGGUUUUAAAUUUGUGGUUUGGAAGAACAGAGAAAUCGUGAUACGAUUUCAUCAACGUGUCACGAUUUUCGGAAAACGUGACACGAUUUUCAAACUUUUUGGGUACGUUUUCAGGAUAAGGUUGGUCGUACCUUGGGUUUAGGGUUGAGUGUGAGGAUCUCUUGGGUUGGGAAACAUUGUAAACACCUUGGGUAGUGAGAUUUCACCAUUGGAAGGAUCAAAAAGCUUCCUUUUGUGUUUUCUCUUAGGAUUCAUUAUUGAAAGUGUGGGUAACACAAAAUGGGUAGAAAUUAGGUCUUGUUCUUAUGUAAGCUUAUAAGCUAAUUUCUUGUAACUCUUUUGUAACACUUUCAUCAUAGUGGAUUGGAGGGCUGCUCUCUCCCCCAGAUUAGGUCAUAUUGGACCGAACUGAGUCAACAAUCUUGGUGUGUUUGUUCCUUUUCUUUCAUAGCUUAUCUUUAUUGCUUUGAUUAUGUUUGUGGUGUUGCUCUACAUUUAGAUCUAGGUCUGUUUUUGUUGUUGUUGCUUGGACACAUUUUAUUCAUUGAUUACCACUUCCUUUGCUUCACACAUCUUUGUUAUUCAUUGGUGUGAUUUUGUCCGGAUUCACGACAAUACUGUUCACAUACACAAUGUUGUUAUCAAAGAAGAUAACAAAACAAUUCUGAGUGUAUUUUUUUUGUUGAAUUUCAAUUGAUCACUAUUGCAUUUACACUAUUCACAUAUAUAUACAUUAGAUACACCCUUCGAUACAUCACAUAUGAUACAACUAUAUCUCUCAACAAACAACUAACUAAUUAACUGAACUCUAACUAACUAUCUAAAAACAGUUAUACACUCAUAUCUCUAUUGUUACUUAUAUCACAAGUAAUCUGUUAUUGGCUAAAUUGAAUUACAACUCUGAACAUGAAUAAUACUUAUUCUAAUGUUGUUAUAUUUAAAAACAUAAAAGGUUGUAAUUAAGCGAUCGGCAUAAAAGGAUUUAAGAGGUUACAAAUCAAAUUUCAUUAUAAAUAAACAUUGCAUAUACAGUUAAAUACACGGUUGUUAAAAUCGGAACUUUACUUCAGGUCGAAAGGGAAUAGUAAAAUUGGGACUCGUAAAAUCGCAAUCAAAAUCGAAGGAUUUUACUCAAGGACAUUUGUAGAAUCGAUAUAAGAAAUUGUAAAAUCGCAAUCAAAAUCGAUGGACGUUACCCAAAAAUAAUAAUACUAAAUAUAUGUUAUAAAUGGUAUAUAUUCAUAAAUGACUUAGUUUAUAAAAAAUCGUAAAAUCGCAAUCAAAAUCAAUGGAUUUUGCCUAUUUUAAGAUUUUACUAUGGAUUUAGGUCGUUGAAGGUGAAAAAGAAAGUCGCAAAAUCCUGAAUUUUAGGAUUUAAGUCAGGAUUUUGAAAAUAAUGAUUAAAUAGUAAAUAUUACGAAAUGAAUCUAAAUAUUUUAUUAGUAUAAAAAUUAAAUCAUUUUAUCAAAAUUUAAAUUUAAAUAUAUUCAAUAUCCAGCUGGAAUGCAAUUAGGGAAGGAAACAUUCGUUUUUGCCAAGUUCUUUGUCCAACUUGUUUCAUUGAACUGUAAUUUGGCUUUCAAAAUUUGACGUUCAAGGCUUCUAAAUAACUCUCAAGUUGCAAUUAUACUUAGAACGAAUAAGUAUAAUGAUAGAUCUAUUCAAAUACAUCCAAUUUGUGCUAAAUGAUUCUUUAAUGAUUAAAUCAAAGUAAACAAACAACUACAGUACACACAAAGAUUUAAUUUGUAUACAAUAAUAAUGUACAAUUUUUUAUUUUUUUUUACACAUGUAUCCAAUCAAAUUAUGUUAUAUAGAGAUUUGUGAAGAUGUUUUAAAAAUUAAUAUAUAAAAUUGGCACUUUAGUGCAUAUAAAUUAAUCUAUUUCUUUGUUAAAAAAAAAAAAAAUCUCUCUCUAGAUAGCAUAUUAUUUUUAAACCGUAAAUAUCUAUCUUUCUAACAUCAUUGAGCAAUGUAGCCUAGAGAGGACUUUUUGGAUCGUGAGGAGUAUUAAAAUCAUUACGUUGGAUUAUAAAUAAUUAUAAGUUUAUUUUUGUAAAGAUAAAAAUUGUAUAAGUGAUUUGAACACCGUAUUUUCACACAAAACUUGAAAACAUCGGUAUAUGAACUAUCUUACUUAUAUACUAACAUUAUUUUUUCAUUUAAUGUAAAUCUUCUUUCUAACUCAUCACUAACACAUUGCACAUAUAGAUAAUUUAGACAAUAGAGCUAUGAUAAAUUUUCUUGAAUACUUCCACAUAAUUCAGUACAUAAUUUAUUGCUAUGUGCAUGUGCAUGUUUUGUGAUAUUAUUGUUAGCCUUUACCAACUUGGCUCUUGAAACUGGAUACAGCAAUUUAGUAAUAUAAUUUAAUUAAAAAAAAUGAUUGUUUUCUGCAAAUUAAUUAGUAACACAGCAUCAAAAUCUGUUCAUGAAAAAUGUUUAGAACUCUGGCAAUUCUGUUGAUUCCUCUGAUCUAAUCAACAAGUCAACCCAAAAACCCAUUCCAUCAUCAUCAUCAAAAGGGUUUUGGAAAUUUUCCAAUGAAUUAUUAUAAGGGUAUUCUUGAAUUGGUAAUUCAUGUGAAAUAGUCAUAGAAUUAGUUUCAUCAUCAGUUAUUGUCUCUGACCAAAAGCUUUCAUCAAUUUGAGGCAUUGUCACAAAUGAGUCUUCAGGGUCUUCACAAAUGAUGCUAUUGUCCAAAUUUUUUCCUUGUGAUGAAAAAUCACUAGAAAAAGUGCAAUUUGAUGAUGUAGUUUCCAUUGAGUUGGAAUUGGCAUUUGAAUCAGAUAUUUUGAUUUUUUGUUUUGACACUCUUUUUUUGGUAUUUGAAUGAGGUUGGUUAUUUUUGGUAUUCAAUAGUCUUUUCUUCAAAUGAGUGUGCCACAUAUUUUUUAUUUCAUUGUCUGUUCUUCCAGGUAAUUUUGCUGCUAUUGCUGACCACCUGAAAAAAAAAAAUCAGAAUAUUAAAUUAAUGUAUGAGAUUUGAAUUUUGCUUCUUGGAUAAAGUUAUUGAGAAAACAACAAAUUUUGAUUGCAUUCAUGCAUAGUGCUAUUUUUUGGAAGUGAAAAUGGAAUUAGAUUGAUCAACAAAGCAAGCAAUCUUCAUGGUACUUUGAUUUGAAAAAGGAAGCAAAUGAACAUAUGUACCUGUUCCCUAGCAACUCAUGCAUCUUAAUGAUAAUUUGCUCUUCUUCAUUUGAAAAAUUUCCUCUCUUAAUAUCAGUUCUUAAAUAAUUAAUCCAUCUCAAUCUACAACUCUUUCCACAUCUUAAUAAACCUGCAUAAUUGACAAGAGAAGCCAAAACUAAAUCAAUACACAAAAGAUAAUAGGAAAAAUCUAUGUAAGUCAUGAAAAUGACUUUUCUGGUGAAGUUAAAUGGUCAAUCAUUGAUCAUUUGUGUAUUUAAUCCAUGACACGUCAGAUUAUAUGAUGUAUUGCACAUUUACUCAUAAGGUGUGUCAUUAUAUGUUUACUUAUUGCAAUUGUCCCUGAAUAAAUCAAAUUAAACAUAGAUUCUCAUUUGUGCACUAAGAUUGAGAUUCCCCUUAAUAUUUUAAAUGAGGACUGGUUUGUAAUAAGGUAAAGUUUAGUUUUAAAGUAGUCCACCUGCAGGACACUAACUGACAUAACAUCGACAGUAAUACUAUUGACUAAAUAAAAUAACUUUUUAAAAAAGUCAAUUUUCUGACUUCAACGUAGAAUCCCACAAGAUACUAACAUUCCAAAUCAUCCAAAAAGUAGAAUGUCUCCAUGACAUUUGAAUGAAGGUACACUAUAAAAUAUCAUAUAAAAUCUAACAAAUAUCAUCAACAAAACUAGCUCAUUUGGUAAGUUAAGAGACACUGAAUUAACUAAAAUAACAAUUAAUAUACUAAUAUUUAUCAAGAAAGACGAACAAAUACCGGCAUCUUUUGGGAGAGCACGCCAAUUGCUAUGUCCAUGUUUGUUGAUGUAGGAUGUGAGGAUUUCAUCUUCCUCUAAGGUCCAAGGACCUUUCUUCAAUCCUUUCUUUUCACAACAUGGAGCUCUAACCAUCUUCAAAUUUGGUACGUCCAAGAGACUAUUUUAUGUAUUAUUAUUUUUGUGCUCUAACUAGCUAGCUAGUUAGGUUAAUUCUCUUGUAUUCUUUAGAAAAAAGGUUGCUCAACUUUGUUUUCCAAAGUUAAUUUAUAUAUAUACCGUAGGAUAUUCCGCACGCCACUAUUCAAGAUUGGCAAAUUGAAUAAUGGUCCACCACAAUAAUAGUUCCCUUUUUUCAUAUUCAUACCACUUGGGCAUUUAAAUACACCUUCCUGGAAAUAGAGUAUCUCUCUCUUAGGAAAAUGUUUUAUUUACUCGAGAAAAAUAUUACUCCCUCCGUCCCAAAUUGUAUGACGUUUUGAGCAUUUCACACAUAUUAAGAAAUGCAAUUAAUAUUGUGUGAAAAAAAAUAUUAUGAGUUGUUUUACAAAAUUGUCCUUAAUAAAUAACAUGAGAAAGAUAAAUGAAAGAAUUGAAAGAAGAGAUAGUAAUAAAUAGUUAAAGUUAUAAUAGGAAAAAUAACAUUAAUGUUGCAUUGAUAUUGUAAAGCGACAUAUAAUUUAGGACAAUUUUUUUCCUAAAGCAACAUACAAUUUGGGACGGAGGAAGUAACAUGUAUCCUCAAGAUAUAAGUUUGUUCAAAAAAAAUAAAAAUUACUCAAGACAUAAGUUAGCAUAAGAAAAAUAAAAAUUAUCUUUUAAAAAUUAUGUCUGUUUAUUUCAUAAAACGUUGAAAAUUAUUUUUUUUCUUUAAUAAAUAUUUAUUUAUAGAAUCUUUAACAUACAUGAUAAGUGCUCAAAAGUACCAUCUUUCAUGUGUUAAAAUAGGCAUUUUAAUGACUUGUUUUGCAAGUUAUCUAAGGAAAAGCAAUCAUUUGUUGUAAUUUGACCAUUUAUGCUUUCGAUGCCUUACGCUACUCAACUUGUGCAGGAAUGACAAGCAAGGACCAAGAAACAAGGUUCCAAGUCAAGCAGAACUCGCUUAAGCGAGAUAGUUCCAAGGAGCAACAUGGAAUCUCGCAGCCACCUCGCUUCUCAACUCGCUCAUGGAAAUCAGCAUCUCGCUUGCGCGAGAUUAAGUUAGAGAGCAAAUGGAAUUCCGCUUUCCAUCUCGCUUCUAGUUCGCGCAAGCAAAGAUUCAAAGAAUGAAGCCAAGUCGCUUAAGCGAGAAAGUUCCAGAAAGCAACUUCAAGACUCGCUUUCAAUUCGCUUCCAUGUUGCUCACGCGAGAUUCAACAAACUUCGGGGGAUGAGGUCCACAUGGCAUGACCUCAUUGGUCAGAUGAGGAUUCCCAGACAUUUCGCUUAAGCGAGAUGUACUUCGCUUAAGCGAGAUACAUGUUUUCAGCCCAUAUAAAUAGUUUUCUCUUCUCUUUUCAACCAUUCCAUUACUGUUUUAUUUACAUUUUUCUGGUUUUUAGAAAGAGACUAGGGCUUUUAUAGAGAGAGAAACACAAAGCAAGAUAGUUAGGAGUAGAUUCAAGCCAAGAUUUGUUGAGACAUCAUGGAUCUUGUCAUUGAAUCUUCAUUUCUUCUUCAUCAUUUGCAAAGCUAUCAUAGACAUAUGUAGCUAUAUCUACUCUUGUGGUUUUGAGGUAUUCAAACAAUCUAUUAUGUAAUCUUUUGAUCAUUUAACAUACUCCCUCCGGUCCUUUAUACAAGAAACAAAAGACAUAAAACAUCAAAAUCAAGGAAAUACAUUGAAAAUAGUUAUCUUCAUUUAAUACACCUUUACAUUUAAAAAAAAAAAAAAUCCAUGAAUACCCCUAAAUUAAUUACUUUUUAUUCCACCAACUUACUUACUUUUAAUAUUCUCUCUCAUAAUAAAUAAGGGCACAAAUGAAAUUUAGCUUCAAACAUACUUGAAACUUGGUCAAUAUUUCUUAUAAAAAGGACCAAAUUUUUUUUCACUUUUGUUUCUAAUAAAAAGGACCGGAGGGAGUAUGAUUCUAGCCAUUUAUUCAAUAUUGUUGUUAUUCUUGUUUUAUUGAGAUUUGUUUCUAGCCAUUUAUUCAAUAUAGUUAGGAGUAGAUUCAAGUCAAGAUUUGUUGAGACAUCAUGGAUCUUGUCAUUGAAUCUUCAUUUCUUCUUCAUCAUUUGCAAAGUUAUCAUAGACAUAUGUAGCUAUAUCUACUCUUGUGAUUUUGAGGUAUUCAAACAAGCUAUUAUGUAAUCUUUUGAUCAUUUAAGAUACUCCCUCCGGUCCUUUAUACAAGAAACAAAAGAGAUAAAACAUCAAGAUCAAGGAAAUACAUUGAAAAUAGUUAUCUUCAUUUAAUACACCUCUACAUUUAAAAAAAAAAUCCAUGAAUACCCUUAAAUUAAUUACUUUUUAUUCCACCAACUUACUUACUUUUAAUAUUCUCUCUCAUAAUAAAUAAGGGCACAAAUGAAAUUUAGCUUCAAACAUACUUGAAACUUGGUCAAUAUUUCUUAUAAAAAGGACCAAAUUUUUUUUCACUUUUGUUUCUAAUAAAAAGGACCGGAGGGAGUAUGAUUCUAGCCAUUUAUUCAAUAUUGUUGUUAUUCUUGCUUUUAUUGAGAUUUGAAAUGAUAUGGACACAUACUUUUGAAUCUAGAAAUAAAAUAACAAUCUAUCUUAAGUUAUCACUCUAGACAUAGAUGUUAAUAUUUGAUAAUCACUUUUAAUCUAGAACUUAAUGUUUUUGGGUCAUUUAAUCGGUUAGGGAAUCGUCGAUUAAACGAUCCAAUCGACUUUGUGAUCGUUUAAAUAUUUGGGAAAUCGAUGUUUAAACGAUCCCUUAGAAAUAACGAUAUCAUUUGGACACAAAUGAUAUUGUCGAGUGAUUGUGAUAAUAUCGUUUAAAAAGCUAUAAUCCAUCAAUCGAGAUAUUGCAGCUGUUACGCUUGGUUGAUGUCUCCGACCGCAAGCGAAAUAACCCUAUCCCUUCUCGUUUUACUUUUAUGUCGAAUAGGAAAAUAGUUUUACACAAACAAACAAUUUAUACCCAAACACUUAAUAUGACAAAUAUUGUGAAAAUGCUUAUGAAAUACGCAACUCCGUGCGGAAACGAUCCUAUUAUACUUACUUGUAAAUAGUUUUAUGACAUGUAAAAAUCUUACAUCAAUACACCGGUAAGAUAUAGGUCAUAACAUCCUUUGUUUUAAGUGAAAUGAGGAGUUAUAGAUUUUGUUAUGUCACUAACAUAACAAAAGCGGUCGAUGCAAACACAUCUUGUGUCAUAGCAUUGGAUAUUGUUUAAGACUUCUAGUGGUGCCACCGUCCCAAUGAUAAUGUGCAGUCUGCUACUCCAAUAUGCAUGCAGAUUGGAUCAAGUGUAAUGUUGAUUGUGCAUUUUUUGAAGCUGAAAGAAAAUUUGGCGUUGGUAUUUGUUUUCGAGACAGCCUUGGACAACUUAUCAAAGCUCACUCAAUGGUUAUUCCCUCUAUUCCAACUGCAGCUGAAUGUGAAGCUACUGCUAUACAACAAGCCCUCCAAAUUUCUCUUAAUCUUGGCCUCAAUCGGGUAGUAUUCGAAACUGAUUGGCAAAUUGUGAAUGAGUUAGAAAUUUUUCUCUCUAAUCAUAGGACUUUUCUUUUUUCUAAUGUUUGUUAUGCUCUAACUUAUGUUAGAAGACAAACUAAUAGAAUCACGCAUAAUCUUGCACAAACGUCUAUAUUACAUGCUAGUCCCACUACUUUUGAUCGUCCUCCAUAUUGUAUCCACUCUAUUAUUUUGGAUGAAAAGAAAUGAGCUAUCUUUCCAAAAUUCAAAAACAUUCUAAAUAAAAACCAUUUAGGAGAAGAAAACAACAGUCUAUGAUGUCACCCAUCACAUGUGAAAUUUUUGUUCGGGCUCGGUUGUGUCUUUAUGUGUGUAUUAAAAGUCUAAAACGGCGGGAAAAGGUUUUUGUUUUUAUAAAUAAAUAAAAAAGGCUUUCGAAUAAUUUAUAUUUUUAUAUGUAGUGUACUUUUCAAUUAUUAAUUUGUUCAUUUUUCUUAUAUUUGGCACAAGAAAAAUUACAGAAAUCCUCUCAUAAUAUGGAACAGAUCAAGGAGUAUAUAAACUAAACAUUGCUAAAUCAAAAUUCCAAUCCUGACUGCCUCAAUGAACUGUAACCCUACUGACUUCCUUGCUAACUUGUUCAAGGCUGACAAAUAACUUUCAAAUUGCAAUUACACCAGGAACGAACAAGUUUAUGACAUACCAAUUCCAAUAUAACCAUCCAUUUGAUUCAAAUGAUUCAUUAAUGAUUCAAAUCUAAUCAAAGAAAACACAAAACUACAUAUAUAAUUUUUAGGAAAAUUCUAUGGUGAAGUCAAUAGAUUGACUUUUUUGGUGAAGUUAAAUGGCAAAUUAUUGAGCAUUUGUGUAUUUAAUCCAUGCAACGUGAGAUUAUACGGUGUAUUGCACAUUUGCACAUAAUGUGUGUCAUUAUAUCUUUACUUAUUGCAAUUGUGUCUCUGAUUAAAUCAAAAUUAAACAUAGAUUCUCAUUUGUACAUUAUGUCAUACCCCAAAUUUGGACCAUUUGAAAUCUUUUUUGUCCAUAUUUUAUAAUAGUCCACCUGCUCUUUUAUUCGUUUUUUUUACCAUUUAAAACUCGUGUUUUUCGUCUUUAAUCAUUUAAAAACUGUCAUCUUGCAUUUAAGUCUCUGCUCGCUUUUUACAACAGUUAAAAUCACUUCAUCUGUAUUUUUUUUAUAACUUUUAGACGCAUUUUAUAUUUAAAAGUUUUAGUCAUAACAGUCAAGUCAUUUUAAAAGGUCUAAUUGUAUUUUCAAAGUCGUGUCUUUUUAAUCAUUUCAACCGAAAUUUCGGCAGGGAGGAUACUUUGAAGUACCUCAUGUCAAAUUUCGAAGGGACUUUUUUUUAUAUUAAUUAAUAUUUUAUUUUUAUUUUAUUUGUUUUUUUUAUUUUUCUUUUUUGUUUAUUAUUAUUUUAUUUUAUUAUUUUUUUUUAAAAAAAACAAAGAAAAGAAAGUCACGUGAACUUUCUUUCUUUCCUUCCUCUUUUCUUUUCCUUUUUUUUUUUUUUUUAUUAUUUUAUUUGUUAAGUCUUUAUCCCCAAGUCUCCAACAGGGGUAUUUUGGUCUUUGAUCUGUACUAGAGCCAACCCUAUUUUGUCACUAUAAAUACAUACACUGUCAAUCAUUGAGAAAUGGGUCCAAAAAAAAAUCACUGUUCAUGUCAGAAAAAAAAUCAGCAUCAAUUCACAAACCCUAAUUUUCUACUUUUCCAACCCUUUUUCAAAUCAAGCACAAAAAUUACAAAAAAAAUAGCAUGAGUUUAAGAAGAACAUUCAUGGGUUCAUAGGAAAAAUCCAGCAACACCAAAACUUUGACAAAACCUCAAAUCCAUUCAUAUAACCACACAAAUCACAAACAAGCAUAAACAAGCCAAAACCGAACCGAAGCAAUCAAAACCGGACCGGACCGAAGAAGAGCAAAACGAACCGGAGAAAGGGGAAAAAAACGUGAAGCUCUCCAUUAGAGGUAACUUUUGAUCCUUUCCACCUCUUGUGUAGUGUUGCUAGUGUUUUUGGUUAUUUUGUAUGAAGUUUUGUUUGAAGCUAAGAUUGUAGAUCUAGGAUUUUUGGUGCAUGUUUUAGAAAUUAUGAGUUUAGAUUUGAGUAGAGGAAGGGAAGAGGUUUGUUUUGGUGCAAAAAUUUUCGAAGAAAGCAAAAAAAAAAAACUCCGGCGCGGCGGCGCUCCGGCCGACCACCACGCCGGAGCAGCUCCGGCCGCCCCUCUUGAUCUUCUCCGGCCGUGUUGUUCUUGAGGGAGGGGAGAGCUUCUCUCUCUAAGUUUAACUUAGAGAGAGAAGUGUUUUAGAGUUGUGUUGUUUUUUUUGUUAAACUUGCUUUUAUAGUAAUUUCUUUUUUGCCGGAUCACACGCGCGCGUACUCACAACCAUACAAUGCUCCAUCACGUUAGUAGCCAUCAGAUCUGGAUCGUUCCUUGAUCUGACGGCCACUGUUUGAUCUGUCUUUAAAUUAUGUAUGUGUUCUGCUGUGUGGACUGUGGUAUGUUUUCUGUUUGAACCGUCAGAUCGUUGAUCUGACGGUCGCUGUGCUCUCUAUGUUUCCUUCUCUAUUUUGUGCUUUUUUUAAACCCUUGGAUCUUUGAUCCAAUGGCUGUGAUGAGAUCUUGGGAUUCAGAUCUGGACCUCUGGAUUCAUCCAACGGUCCAGAUUAGAUCCUGCUGAGCCAAUUUUUUUUUAUUUCUUAUUUUUAAUUGUCUUUAUUUUUAAAUACUGUUUUUUUACACUUUUUUGACAUUUUUGUGUUUAGAAAAAUUCCAAAAAUAUUUUUCUCACCAUUUUAAUUUUCUCUAAUUUUAAAAAUCCAUCCUAUUUGUUUUCUUUUAAUUUUUUUUUUUUUUUUAUUUCUUAGAUGAUGAUCUUAAUUAUUGUUUGUCUUAAUUCCUUGCUUUUUAUUAUUUAUGUCUCAUUCACCAUGAUAUUUCUUAUGUUACUAACGAUUUAAUUUUUGUCUUGAAUCAUAGCAUGCACAUUUAAUUUUCUCAUCAUUUUAUUUUGUCAUUGAUUUAGUGUGUAUAAAUAGGGAAUUGAUGUAAUUUUAUUUCUUGCAUUUUUAUUUUGGCAUAAAGGCCUUAGGGUUGUAUUUAGGAAUUGAUGUAAUAAUGUAGGUAACACAUGCACCGACACUACCACAUUUUAUUUACCGCUUUCCUUUAGUUUUUACGACGUUACGUUAGUUUUCACCGUUAGUUUAGAAAAAUCAUUUUCUCAAAAAAAUCGAAUAUGCGAAACUUCAAAAAUCAUUUUCUUAAUAACAUUUUCCCUUUAUUUUUUUAAUCAAAUUCUCAAUCAAUUUUAAUUCAACUUCAAUCAUUUUCAAAAUUUAAAAUCAAUCAACCUCACUCAUUUCUUUUAUCUCAUGCCUUGAGGCCUCUUUCUCUUCUUAAAACCAUUUUCAAAAAUCUUAAAAUCAACCUAACCCACCAAAGAAAUUUUUGAGUGGAACUACGUCGGUUUUGAUCCCUUUCCCAAAAAGGGUACGUAGGCAGAGGACUUGUCCUUCCAAAUCAAAUAAAAAUAACCAAAAACAUACUUCUUCUCCCUCCAUUCUUUCACUUAGAUUUUAGGUAAUAAUUUUUCAAGUAAGCAAAUGAAUUUAGCACAAGAUAAUCUAGGUAAGCGGUUCCUUCGGAGUACCGAAGUCGUUUAGGGUGCUUAACACCUUCCCUAUUCGAAACCAACCCCCGAAUCCAAAGUCUCGAUAAGGGUUUUUACUCAUUUUUUCCUUUCCCACGAAUAAAAAUUGAGAGUUCAAAGAUUGACGAUUCAAAUCAAUCAAUGGUUUGAUAUCCGAGAAUCGGGGAGCACACAUUAAGAUUGAAAUUCUCAUUAAUAUUUUGUAUGAGAACUGAUUUGUAAUAGGGUAAAGUUUAGUUUUAGAGUGGUCCACCAGUAUGACACUAGUUGACAUGACAUCGACAGUUAUACUAUUAGCUAAACAAAAUAACUUUUUCAAAAAAGCAAAUUUUCUGACUGCACCCUAGAAGCCCCCUUAAUUUUUAACCAUAACCAGUGGAAUAACAUUCUAUUUAUCCACUUUUCUACUACGCUUAAUUGUAAAUAUAUCAAUUUAAGCAUAUAUAAUAUGAUCAAAUAUUUUGAUAAGUAAGAUUAAAAUAAGCUAUUUUUAUAGUUAUAACUAUCAUUCCUAUUGUAGUGUGGUUGUUCAUAUUUUAAUGAAAUUUAACUAUUUCUUAAUUAAUAAUUUAAAAAAUAAUAUUAUAAAAAGGUUUAAAUAGUUUAAAUAAAGAGUAAAAAUAGAAGAAAAAAGUUGGUCAUAAACGAUCCAUCUCCCUUAUAUAUAAGUAUAUAAUAGAUCAGAAAUGAUAAAUAAACAUAAAACUUUAGACACAAAUACAACAUCAUAUACAACUGUUCACUUAUACCAUAUAUUUUAUUAUUAUUUUUUCAAUUCUCUUCCCUCUUUCUCUCUCCUUGUUGCAUUUUUUUUUUGAACUGCAUUUUUUUUCUUUUAACAGCCCAUGCUGCAUUUUUCUUUCUUGCAUCCCGAGUGUCUCUUUUAGCUUGCUCUCUGGUAAUCUUCCUUUGAACGCCGCCGCAACCUCCACCUCUCUCAUGUGCUAUAUGUGUUUGUUUUGUCUCUCGAGUUCUCACUGUUCUCUCUCUCCCUCGAGGUUUCUCUCAAUCAACGGCGAACACGGUCGUCACCAUCUUCAACAAAACAGAUAUGAUGUCCGAUGUAGUGGUGAUCUGAACGGAACUCCGGCGACGAGAGAGAGAAGAAGAUUCGUCGUCGCCGCGUUCAGAUUUGAACGGCUUGAUGGUGAGGACGGUGUUGGUUACCACUGAUGAAGGCCGACAAUCAUUGUGAGGAUGCAGGCUGCGGUGGUCAGGACGGCGGUGGUUAGGAGAAUGGUGUUGUCGUGAGGACAGAGAGAAUGCAGGGAAGAUGGAAGUAGGAAGAAGAUGGGUCUGUGGGGAUUUGACAAAACUGCCCCUGCUUAAUGGUGGAAAUAUCCAAACUACCCAUGGUGUCGUAUUUGUGUCAAAUAUUUUGUGUCUAGUUAUCAUUACUCAUAAUAGAUAUAGACAUAGGUACGAAUAGUUUACCUCUAUCUUUUUAGUACAAUGGCAAACCUUUCCUUAUACUCAUAAAAUAAAAAGGAGUUUCCAAGUGGUUGAUUAAAUAUAAAAAAAUAUUAACGAAUAGAUGGAAAGAUAAGAAAAGAGAUGGAGCAAAAUUUAAAAAAUAACAAAUCAACGAAUGACUUUUUGUUGAAGGGACGGAACAGAGUUAAGGAGUAUUUUAUAUCGGGUUUUAAUUUUAGGCCUAGCCUUAAUUUCGUGCGAGGAGGCAUGAUAUUAUGGGUCUAGCCUUAAUUUAGAUUUGAGGAGCAAUGAUAUUAGUAAACUGACAAUCGAACCAAACCAAAUUAAAUCGGUUUAGAUCGGUUUUGAAUUGAACAAAACAAGGUCAUAUAGUUUUCUAGUUUCAUUGGUUUUUUUUUUGUAUUGGUCGGGGUUUGAACCACAGACCUUUUAUAUUUUAUACAUUAUCCCAACCAACUAAGCUAAGCUCACGAGGACAGUUUCAUUGGUUUUGUUUCGAAGGAUAGUUUCAUUGGUUUUGUCAAAACCACUUACACCCCUAUAUAAAUCAACAUUAAUGUGGUUAAAACUAAACAAGGAAUGUGACAAAAAUUUGAAUACUUCACAUAACUUGGUUCAUAAUUUAUUACUAUUGCAAUUGAAUAUCUCUAACCUAAUGAUAUAAUCUUUUACAAGAAAUUUUUGUUUAGCUAACCUAAUGUUUUGCAGAGUAUAAAUAUUGUAUAAAAUAAAUUUGUAUUUUCCUUUUACAUCAUAGAUAUAUAUAUCAUCACCACCCUUUACCAAUGAUUGACUUGCUAUUGAAACUAGAUACAACAAUGUACCCUUUCACCUAUUGUAACGAACAAAUUGAAUUUAGUGACAUAAUUUAAUUUAAAAAGUGUUUGUUUAUAUUUAGUAACACACCAUCAAAAAAUGAUCAUGAUAUAAGUCUAAAACUCUGGCAAUUCUGUUGAUUCUCCUGAUUUGAUGAACACAUCAUACCAAAAAUCCAUGCCAUCAUCAUCAUUAUCAAAAGGGUUUUGAAAAUUUUCCACGGAAUUAUUAAAAAUGCAUUGUUGAUCUGGUAAAUCAUUUGAAACUGUCAUAGAAUUUGAUGGCAUGGUGGAACUAAUUUCAUCAUCAAUUACUGUCUCUGACCAAAAGCUUUCAUCAAUUUCAGGCAUUGUCACCAAUGAGUCUUCACAAAUGAUGCUAUUGUCCAAAUUUUUUUCUUGUGAUGAAAAAUCACUAGAAAAAGUGCAAUUUGAUGCUGUAGUUAAAGUGCUGGAAUUGGAAUCAGAUCUUUUGAUUUUUUGUUUUGACACUCUUUUUUUGGUAUUUGAAUUUGGUUGGUUAUUAUUGGUAUUCAAUAAUCUUUUCUUCAAGUGAGUGUGCCAUACAUUUUUUAUUUCAUUGUCUGUUCUUCCAGGUAAUUUUGCUGCUAUGGCUGACCACCUGAAAGUAAUAAUCAAAUAUUUAAUUAAUUAAUGCAUGAUUGAGUAAAAAAAAUACUUAAUUAAUGCAUGCAAUUCAAAUUUUGCUUCUUGGUUAAAGUGAUUGAGAAAACAACAAUUUUUUUUUUUCAACAAUAAACAACAAAUUUUGGUUGUAUUGAUUUUUGGAUUACAUGCAUAGUGCUAUGUAUGUCAAGGACAUACAUUCUAUAAUUGCGUCCUAAAAUAAAUAUUGUAUAAUUGCAUGUGCUUGAUACGACAAAUGCCUAGUAUUAUCUUAAUUUGGAUAGAUAUUUUAGAAAAUAAUGUUAAAAAAUAAUAUAUAUUUAAAAUUGAUUGAACGUUGUUGUGAACCUUUUUAUAUAUUAAACUACACAAUUAGUUACACAAUAUAUUAUUUUUUUACAAAAUUACACAGCUUAUUUUUUCCGUAAUAAAUUAAUUAAUAUUAAUGCUAUUUCCCCCUACUACUUAAAUAUUAUCUACAUAAUUUUCACACACAAAAAAAAAAAAAAAAAAUUAGCAAGAAAUUCAAAAGGACAUGCAAUUAUAAAAAACAUAAUUAACUCAUCAAAUUUCAGUAAAUUAGUUGCAAUGAUCAUAACCCAAUUGAAUAUAUGUAGUUACCUGUUCCCCAGUGAUUCAUGCAUCUUGAUGAUAGUUUCCUCUUCUUCAUUUGUAAAAUUUCCUCUCUUAAUAUCAGGUUUUAAAUAGUUAAUCCAUCUCAAUCUACAACUCUUUCCACAUCUUAAUAAACCUGCAAAGUUUACAAGAGAAACAAAAACUAAAUCAACACACAAAAGAUUUAAAACAUUCCAAAUUUUCCCAAAAGUAUAAUAUUAUAUCUAAAUCAUCAAGUUCAUUGCUAUAAGGGUUUUUUUAACCUAACAAAAAUAUCAAUAUUUAUCAAGAAAAAUGAACAAAUACCUGCAUGUUUUGGUAGGGCACGCCAAUUGCUAUGUCCAUGUUUAUUGAUGUAUGAUGUGAGGAUUUCAUCUUCCUCUAAGGUCCAAGGACCUUUCUUCAAUCCUUUCUUUUCACAACAAGGAGCCCUAACCAUCUUGAAAUUGAGAUGAAUUAUUUGUGCUCUCACAAGCUAGUUUAGUUAACUCUCUUGUGUUCUUUAGAAGCAAGAUUAUUCAACUUUGUUUCUCAAGGUUAGUUUAUAUAUAUAGCGUAGGAUAUUGCACACACCAUUAUUCAAGAUUGGCAAUUAAGUUGAAUGGUCCACGACAAUAAUUGAUAUUCGUCUUUUAAUAUUCAAACCAUUUGGCUUUUUAACACACCUUCCUCGAAAGAGUCUCUAUCUCUCUCUCUUUGGAAAAUGAAAUUUGGAAUUUUAAGUGAGACUUAAGAGUUGAAGAUUUUUCUACGUCACAAAUAUGGGUUUGAACAUUCUCAAUAAACACUACUUAGGAUAAGAAAACAACAGGUCUAUGUCACCUAUUAUAUGCGUGACAGUUUUUGUGCUGGUUCAGUUUUGUCUUUUUAUGUGUAAUAAAAGUCUAAAACGGUGGGAAAUUAUUUUAUUUAUACACACCCUUGGAAAUGAAAUAUAACCAAAAGUAGUACUUGAAAGUUCAAUAUAUGUACUUAAAUCAUUUUUGUUUAUAUUUUUUCUGGAGGGAGGAUGGUAAUAUUAACAACUUUUUUUUAUCAAAGUUAGAAAAAUUAAAUUGCAAAACAAGAGUAGGCCUGAAUCUUAUUACAACAAAAAGCAGGCCAACUAUGACCAAACAGGGGCGUCCUUGAGGGGGUGCAAACAGCUCAAACGAGUUGGGCCUCCCUCAAGGAUGGGUCUCAAGCGUGGGGGUUCCUCAUGAUUGAUUUUAGUGUUAGGUGGGGAUUCCUCAUGUAUACGGUAGUCAUUUUCACCUCUAGGUGUACCGCAUAUAUACAACACCUUGUAUUUAUCUUUUAAAAAAUAUAAAUAGAACAUCACUCUUUUAAAAAAAAUACGUUUUGAUUUUAUCACCGGCCUCUUUUCAUUCCCAGAGCCGAGCCUCCGAAUUCUCAGGGACGACCGUGACCAAACUCAACUAAAACAGUUCUCAACUAAAACAACAUGUAUGCAAAGAAUCAAAUCAUCUGUCUAAACUAAAUUGUCAAACAACUAACUAUUAGCACAUAUUAAGAAACAUCUCCUGGAAGUCAAACAUAUUUAGGGUUGCUUUUGAUUACAUCCUUUUUAAGACGAGUUUGGAUUUGCUCACUACUUGUGAUGCCAUCAGAGCCUUUGCCUCUUGCAGAGCUGCUACUCUUUCUUGACUUCUUGCUGGACUUUGGUUGGUGAUGAUCAUCUGGUUGUGCCUCCAAAUACUGCAAAGCCAUAGGGUGCAUAUUCAUCUUUUCUUUGUCGGUGUCAGGAUCCAUAGUGGCAUUUGUAGUGUCAGAGUCCACCACAUCACCCCAAAAUUUACUAAGAAUUUGGACACUUUUCUUGCUUGCCUCUGAGCAAUGCUUAGAGUUAUUAGCUUUAUGAAACCUUCCUUUGUUUGGUUCUAACACUUCAGUAACAGUCACAGGUUCCACCAAUUUAUAAGUAACAGGCAUCUCAGCUGUAGUAAGCAACUCAGCAGAAGCACACUGCCUCCCAUGCUCAGAUGACAACAACAGAGUGUUUGGUACCAAGAUCAGCUGUAGAGGACCUUUUUUUCAAUUCACUAGGUGUCUUUAAGCCAUCUUUGUGAUCCAAACAAUCAAUCUCUUUGGAGACAAGUUCAAGAGGCUCAAGUAUAAGAGAUGAGAUGAUAUUUUUUUCUCGAAUAUUUUCAUCCAUUUUGUUUUUAACGAAUUUGGAUUUGUAUUGUAUCGAUGUACUCUAUCAAUUUGGAUGAAUGAAUAUCGUUUAUUUUUGUCAAAAAAAGUAAUGGUCGGGUUCGAACCUUAAAAACUCCACAUGUUUACCUUAAAGGUGAAUUAUAGUCACUAAGCUACUUGACAUAAAUAAAUAAAUUAAUUAAUUUUGGCAUAAUCAUUCAUUUCGCUAGAAUAAAGUUGGAUACUUCUGCUAUAAGAUACAGUUGGAUGUGCCCUUUAAUGUAUCUCAGUUGGUAGCUACUAUAGAUAUUAGUUACAUGAAUCAGGGUUUAAACCUUGAAUUUCUGACUCCGAGUCAGUCUUAAGAUGUUUGAUGACGUGGGUAAAUCAGUAAAGUUGUGUCCUUUUAAUUAUUGAAUGUCUUUUUUCUUGCAAUUUUUUGUGUUAACCUUCCAAAUUUCAGGGUAAGGAGGCAUUGGUAAUCCGGAGUUUGACCAUCAGAUAAAUAUAAUAUAACUAGAAAUUAUUUUUGCGUUUUUUAUUGCAAAAUAUCCGUUCAUAAUUAAAAUUAUCUAAAAUAUAUUUUCAUUAGAAUUGAUCAAAGAAAGUUAAAAACAAAUAUUUAUAUAUAAUACUAACUACUAAAUAACAAUAAUAAAUUUGAUACCCUAAAAAAUGAUACCCCUCUGUCCAUGCUCAAGGCCAGUCUUUAUCUCCACUUUGUACUUAAAUUGUGUAAACCUUCACGACAUAACCUGACACUAUUGUUAGGACUUUGUUUGAUAAAAAUAAGAGAUAUCCCAUAGUUGACAACUGAUAGAUAAUAACUUAUAUUUGAUGGGAAAAAAGUCUAGAUACAAUGUUAAAUGAAACCUUUUAUAUUUCUUUAUUUAUUGAUAUUAAUAUACAAUUAUAUUAUUCCGGAGUAGAACCAAUAAGAGAAUUAAAGCCUAUACCCUCUAAAAGAAAAACAAGAAUGAGAGUCUAUACAUCAUCGUCAACAACAACAAAGCUUUGUCCUAUUAAGUGUAGUCAACUACAUGGAUCAAAUUACGUCAUAUUGUUCGAUCAUAAACCAUAAUUGGAUCUAACUUAUUAAACUCUAAAUCUUUUCUAAUGGUUUCUCUUAUAGUUUUUCCAGAUCAUCUUCUAACUCUUCUGAUCUAACUCUCCAUCUUUUCUCCCCAAUUCUCUCUAAUGGUGGCAUUCCUGAUCCUAUCCCGUCUAGUCUUACCACACAUCCAACAUAACAUCUUCAUUUCCACUAUGCUUAUUUGAUUCUCGUAUUGGUUACGUUCUUAAACACUCAACAAUUCGUCCCAUAAAACAUCACAUAUUCUGACCAAUAUCUGGUAGAAUUUUCUUUUCAACUUAAACGGAAGUUUUUUAUCACAUAAUACAAUUGUUUACACAUGUUUCUUUUUCUUCGUCAUUUUGUAUUAUGAACCCAAGAUAUUUAAAAUGUGUCACUUGGGAUAUGAUAUGCCCUCCCACCUUCACCUCCAUGGUGGAACUUUUUCUUAUUUUGCUGAAGUCCAUAUUCUCUGUCUUUCUUCUACUCAAUCGAAAACCAUUCUCUUCUAAAGCUUGUCUCCUGGUCUCUAACCUCUCAUUCAUUUUCUUCCUUGACUCUCCAUUCAAAACUACAUCAUUUACAAAAAGCAUACGUCUUAAUAUUCCUCAAAUAUAUCAAAAACUAAAGUAAAAAGAUAAGGUCUUAGGUUUGACCUUUGAUGCAAUCCUAUUGUUACGAGAAAAUUGUUGAUAAUCUCAUCUUACAUCCUCACACUAGUCGAGUCUUUUUCAUAUAAAUUCUAGGUAGAUUUAAUAUAAGCCAUCUUAAUCCUUUUCUACGAUAUAAUAUAAGACAUGAUAUACAACUUAAUGUAAUAAUUUCCGUGUUCCAUGUUAUCAGCAGCCUUUAAAUUAUUUUUUAAAAUUGUCGUUUCCAAUAAAAACGCAAGUUUUACCAUAUUGUUUUCUUUGUUGGUGAAAACAUUAUUUUAAAGUAUAUAUAUUAUAUAGUAUGCAUUUUUUUUGACAAAGAUAUUAUAUAGUAUGCAUAUACUUUGAAUAUCUAGAGAAUAAUGCAAGAUAAGCUGCCAAUGUACAUGACAGGAUCUCAGGGUGACCUUGAUCCAUCCAUCCACAGAAUAAGAACGGCAAUUUGUCACUGUUGGUGAGCAGCCAGACGGCGUGCAGACAAAUAAUAAUAAUGAGUGCUCUAAUAAUAAUAUACACUAUAUAAAGAAAAUAAUAUGAUUUGGUUCAUUUGGCUUAGUUAUUUUUCUUAUUUCCGCUCUUUUUAUUUUGAUAAUGUUUGUAAAAUAUGAACGGUAUUUUUUUUUAUAAAAUUUUAAUUUUGAUUAAAACUAAAAAAAAUAUAAAUGUUUGUUGCUUUCAAGUUAUAAAAAAUCAAAAUAACCAUGAUUAUUUCAACAACACCGACAAUAAUACAAUAUAACAAAAAAUAUAUAAUUUAAAUUCUUUUUUUAAUGACACCAACAACAAUUUUAUUUUAGAAAAAGUUGUUUAAGGGUAUAAUUAGAAUGAUGAAAAAGUAAGUAUAAAUAUACUCAUCUAGUUUGUUACACUUUUUAAAUGAUAAAGGAAAAAAAAUAAAAAAUAAAUAUAUUUAUAUCGUGUUUGUUACAUUUUUUUUAAUAUUUAAAUUUAUUCUUAUCUAUUUGUUAAAUGUGUUAUUUGUAUUGAAAAUUGAGGAUAUUUUUGGAAAGAAAAAUCCAACCCAAAAAUGCUGAAAGGAAUAGUUUUCUUUAUAGCAUAGAUUAUACCUUUAAACAUAUUUUGGUAUAACUUUGUCAUAUUAUUAGUGUUAUUAAACAAGAUAAGAAUUUGCAAACAAAGUUAGAUAGUUCAAAGGAAAAAAGAACGAGUAUGUUAGGAAAUCAAAGAAGAGGUGAGCUAGAACCGAGCCAGGACGGGUUCAGAUAUAAUCAAUUUAGAGAGUUGAAUGUAUUUCACGAGAUCAAUUCUCUAAUGUUGUAAAAUACACAUUUAUUGGGAGGUAACCUAGUAUUAAUACCCUUUCUUUUUAUUUUCAGUCAUUUAUAGUUUUUUUUGUGUGUGUAUAUUAUAGCAUAUUUUGAGCCUUCAUGAAUUUAGUGAGUUUUUGCAUUGGUGUUGUUCCUGUGUGAACAAGUAGGAUAUACCUCUUGAGAAGAGGGUGUACUUCCUUUUCAUGUGAGUAAAACUACCACGACUUGUUGUGUGAUUGGAUGGCAGCAUGUAGGAAAGUGAGUAGUUAGUGAGUAUGAGUAUGGUUGUUAGUCUGUAUUACAAUACAGUAGGUGCACCUUCAUAAUUAUAUAAAUAGGGGGCAAUUCUUACAUCAUAAGUCAGUUUUGUGUGAUCGAGUUAAACCCAACCAAAAAUUAUAAGAUUUUUAAGAUUGAAUUUCAUAUUCGAAUGAACCUUAUAGACGUGAGAAAAGUUGUUUUUUUAACUACAAGUAUAGCAAACGAAAAAUUAUGAUAGAAUCCAAUAUAAUGGAUCUCUCCUUUUGAAAACCAGACUUUAGGAUUUCCUCCGAUCCAACUUAAGUAUAUAUCUACACACAAUAAAAAUAAAGAAAGAAGUUUCCGCUUUCAAUUAAUUACGUCGAAGUUCUUGAGUAGUCAUACAUCCCUUUAAGCGAAGGAAUCCCGUAAAAUAAAUUUCUUUAUAAAAAAGGAAUAUCCUCAAAAUCAUAAGAGAUUUAUAGGAUAUAUCUUCAAGCUCCAAUACACCCACACUCUUCAAAGAAGAAAAUAUGUGAACUACAUUUAACAACGCUCUAUGGUAUGAGAAUAAGAGAAAAUAAGAAAAAUAUAUAGAUGUUUAAAAUGUUAUCGUCUCAUGCAUCUUGAAACGAAUAACUCGUGUCAAUAUAUAUACAUAUAUAGGGUCAGAUAAGAUUGAUUUAUCUGAGUUUAUAUACCAACAUAAGUUUUAUGAGACUUUUUGGAAAGUCUUAUAAAAGCAGCUUAUUUCAUUAUUUGUAAGCUAUUUUUAGGUUAUUUUCAUAAGUUAUUCAAGAUAGUUUAUGAAAGCAGCAGCUUAGAACAUAUACAAAAAUUAUUAACAUUAUUUUAUCAUUUUCUAUAGAAAUAAUUUAUGUAAGCUUAUAAAUAAGUGUUUAUUAUGAUAAGGGAUUAUGCUAUAAACGGUGAAUAAAAUGAUUAUUCAAAAAAGGCCAUAGUCUUGAUCUUCCUGUGGGCAUUAUUCAAGAUAAUCAACUGCAACAACAAAAUAUUAAUUGUCAAUGACCCAUCACCAACGAAAGAUCGAGAUAAUACAUUUCGUCAGUUGCACCCAAAAUCUUAAAGGUUAUAGGAUGUAUCAUAUGAGAGGAGGUUUUAUAAUAAGAGAUGAGAGCAUUAAGUUAGCACCCUAAGAUUAAUCUGAAUGGUGGAGAUGAUAUUUCACUUAAUUUCACGCUUAACCACAUGAUUGCCUCUAUUUUCCCUUUUUUCUUUUUUGUUAUUCACACCCAUUGAUCUUCUUCAGGAUUGAGAGUUCUAUCAAAUUAAUUUUCCCAUUUCAUCGUGGUUGCUCUUCUUUCUUCUCCAUUAAUUUGACGAAAAACUCUAUCCAAGAAUGAACUUAAUUUUAUACAAACAUAGAGAAAAGUAUAUGGAAGAAAAAUUAAAAGGGUUUCUUUUACAGUAUAAAGAGUUGAGAACAUUCCUUCUUUGUUGCAUAGCAGUCAUAAGCUUUUCAAUUGUUGAUCGAAUUUUACAAACAUGUUUGUAAGUACCAAUUUUCCCUUUGACGAAAAAAACCAAAAAAGGUUUUUCUUUUUAUUGAUCAUUGAUGAUGAAAGUAAAGGAAAAACCACCAAAAGGAAUUGGGUUUUAAUCACUUUGAAUUUUCAUGUUCUACUGACUGUAUUUCGAAUUUUCCACCAUCAAGAGUGAGAUUACAAAACUAGGAAGAGACACGAGAAUGAUAGACAUAAUGGUUUGAAAAUAAAAGUAACAAAAGAAAAGGAUUUCCACGGAACAUGAGGGGAAUAGGAAAGAGUGGAGAAAGAAGGGAAUUGAGAAAAGGAUUUCCAUGGAUCAUAUCAAUUAUCAAGUGAAAUGAUAUGUGAGAAUAAUAAGAAUAAUUAAUAGCAUUUGGAUUAAAAAUGAAUAUAUAUCAUUUAUGGCUCCGUUUUUGCUCCGUUCGCGUCCGUUUUUUUGCCGGUUUCCUGUCCAAUUUGUGUUGCGGCCCGAUCUGGUUCAGAUCUAGUUGGAGGAGGUGAGGUGGCCACGAAUUUGGUGGUUUCGAUGGUGAGGGGUUGGCGGUCCGAUGGUGUGAGGCGGUGGUGGAUCUGUGCGGAUCGGAGGUGGUGUUCCGAUCUUUGUGGAUAUGUCACGGGAGUUUUGUGAGGUGGUGGUGGUGUUUCAUGGUGGAGGGUUUCUCGGUGGUGGUUUUGUAGUGGCGGCGGCGGUGGGUGGUCCUUCCUGCCGAGUACCUCCCACUCUAUUGUGUCGUUGCUAACAUCGAGUAUGGGACGCCAAUAAUACACUACUACAGCUUCUUCCCCUUCCGGACCACUUUGUCCACCUACAAACAACAGCUUAUCUCCACAAAUCUUGAAAGCAAGGCACUUAUUCUUGAUCAUGCUAGUUAAACGUUCAAUUGCUUACAACUAAUCAUUAAAUACAGCAACAAGUGGUGGACAUGCUUUUGAACUGUGAUAUAUAUGAUAUAAUGACUUCAUUCCUUGAGUGAUGAUCAUAUGAAUCUGUUAGAUUUUUGUUCCUUUGUGGUGGUAUCAAGGGUGGGAUGUGUAGGUUGUGACGGGGUGGUUUAUGUUGGUGACUAACGUAUGGUGUGGAGGGGGUGAGGUGUGGUGCCGAUCUAUGUGGUCCAAUUCUGGCGGCUGCAGGUGUGCGACAUAUCUUUCAUCCACGAUUAAUCCUCCUUCAACGAACUCCCGGAUCGUUUGUCGUCAUAAGGAUCGUGGUGGUUGUCGUUAUUCGUACCGGUGGCCAUGUAGCUUUAGAUUUUGCUUGAUUUGGUGGCAGACCCCUCUCCGGGGUCACUGUAUGUCCGUUACUUUUACUGAUUGUUUUCUGUUGUGUGCUGGUGUUGUGGUGGUGCGUGGUGGUGGUGAUUUGGUUGAGGUGGUGGUGGUGGCUUUGCAUGGUGGUGGUGGUGGCUUUAGAUGGGUAGUAUUUCUUUUGUUUUGGACUCGAAUUUGGUGUCAUAAUGAUUUGCGUACGAGAGCUAUAUAAGAUGGUGGUUGGUGUUGUUUAGGUGAGGAGGUGGGUGUUGCUUGGGGUGAUUUCCUUUGGAGGCAGCCUCUGUUACACGGGCCCAUGUUCGUCGUCACUAGCUCUUAUUUGCGUUUUUGGGUUGUUAAGGUGUUUGGAGGGCGCAUGUCCCAUUUGAGCUGAGCCUUUUCCUUUUGAUUUGUUGUUUGCACCACCGCAUAUCAUGUCAUUUGUCUUACUUAUUGUGUGUUAGGUUCCGGUGGGCCGAUUACUUUUAGUUCGAGAUCGGGAGUCACUGUCUAGCUGCAAUCUUGUUUGGCUUGAUUUGGUGUUUCUCUAGCGUACCGGGGGUGAGAGGUUCCCUUCUGUUUUGGUCGUUAAGUAUGGUGGGACGAUGAAUUUUGAUUCAAUAUCGGGAGUCAGUUCUUUGGGUCAAGUUUGAUUUUGGACUUUUUUAUGGUAUUUCUUUCGGUAGAUCGGAGGUGGAGAGGUGGUGAAAGUUGAAUGAUCUUUCAGAUAUGAGCUUUUCGGAUGUGGCUCAGCUUUGGUGUAGAGGAUUGAUGUAGUAAAUUCGCAAGUGUACAGUUUACCGAUGUAGUAAUAAGAGAGUAUCGUUCCAACAUGGAGUUGUUUAAUUCAAUUAACUUUUAUGAAUGAUUAGAAGAGAGUUUAGUUGAAAAGUUGGGAUUUAAAACGGUUUAAAAGUAAUAAUAAAAAACGCCUUGAGAUUAUUGGUUCAUCUUGGUGACAAACCCUUCAUAAACCAAACCCUAAAGCUAGAACUUUAUGUUGGAUCUACUUUCUAAAGACAAGUUUCUCUUAAGUAUAUCGCAUCUCCUUUCAGUUUCAGUGUGUGUGUUCCUCUAGCAACCACGCCUAUUCUCAUGGUUGAUUGCUAUUAUAAUCUUUGAAGAACGAAACUUUAUUGUCUCAAGGUUUGCUAGACUAUUAUCAUGUUUUGCAAUCCUUGUUUAAUUUCACUUGUGCCAAUUUCAAAACUUCUUAUUUCGAUGCUUCGCUUUGAUAUUUGUGAUGAUGAAUUAACAAGUACUAACCCUCCGCUGUCGCAUUAUGAGUUUGAUACUUGUUAAUUCAUUAUAAAAACGGUGAAAUUAGAUUAGAAAGUAGAUUUACAUAAAAUUAGGGUUCGAGGCUUGGUUUGAUUAGGAUUAGGUCAUUAGACUCAUCCAACAAUUCAAAGACAAGAAGAGUUUACUCACUCAUGUUAAUUGUACACAUAGAAGAGAAGAAGGAGAAGAACAUAAAAUAAAAUAAUAAAAAGAAGAAAUUUUAUUCAAAGAAAACAAUUGUCACUAUUAAAUUCAGAGAACAAAAGAUGAUUAUACAAGCUUGAUGGCUGCUCUAUUUAUAGUCUAACAUUGACUUAAGCCCUAAGAAAUAAAUCACUAAAGUAUUGCACAAGAAACCACGGGCUUUAGGUCAAAAAUAAACUAAUAGGCAGCUUGUCCAGGAAGCAAAAAGCAGCAAAAGGGGCUCUAGGCUGAUGGCAUGGUCGUGUGGCUGGUGGCACGAGCCGUGUCAAGCUUCUGACUUAGGGGAUUCAUAUUUUUGCACAAAACCUUCGUAUUUUUAGUCCGAAUCAGCUCCAAAUCUCAUUUCUUUUGUUCCAAGACUCAUUCUUUAGAAUAUUUGUUCCUGAAAUUAAAUAACUUGCAAUUGAAGUAAAAUAGUUCUAAAAAGGAAUUAAAAACAUAUAAAAUCUAAAUAAAAUAGACUCAAAUAAUAUAUUAAAAACACUAAUUAUUGACUCAUCAAGAAUUGGGAAUUUAAUUUUUAGUUCUCUUUGGGGGUGAGUAGUGACGAUGGGUGCUUUUGGAUAUCGUUUUUCAGUAGUCGUUUACAUGAAGGUGUCUGUUUUAGGUGGUGACGUGUAUUUUAGCGGGCUUUUGUCCUCAAGGUUGUCUUUUAGGGUGUUUAUUUUCGCGUGUUCCGCCUAUAUACGGCGCCUUAGAUUGUCUUGAGCAGGAGGAUCUGAUUGUUAAAUAAAUUUUGUUGUAGAAAAAAAAAAGUAGAUGCGAGACUAAAAUACUGACUUUAACCCAAAAUCCAUUGUAUCAUAUACUUGUGGUUAACCUUGAAAAAGGGAGACGAAGAAUUGAAGAUUGUCUGGCAAAGAGAAGAGGAGAUAUUACAUGCUUGGUGUCCACUAGUCACGCCGCCAUUGGCGAUUAUAUGUCGUUGUACAUCGUAGCAUAAACCUUAGUGGCUGUGCAUGUUUUAAGGAAGAGAAUGAAUACGUGAUAGAGAAAGAUGAUAGGUUUAACAUUUUGGCUUUGGCUACAUUUUUAAAAAUUUGACUUCUAUUCAAUAAAAUGUAAAUAUUUUCUAAAAAAGGAAUGGUUCAUAAUUGAGCAUGUGUGUAUAGAGAGAGACCAAUAGUCUAUAUGAUUUUUCUCGUAUUAGACUAUUGUUUUUUUUUUGGUCAACCAUAGUCCAUAUAUAGACUCUUAGGGCGUCGGCUUGUGCAUGUUGAUUGAAUUUUAUAAUUUAAUUAUUUUGGACGUACACGCUUAAUUGCACUUUUGGUCUUCUAUCUUUUAAAAAGGUGGCGAUUUUGGCCCCCCUAACUACUUAAAAUACAAAACAGCCCCUUAUGUAUUGGAUCUUUGGCAGUUUUGGCCCCAAAACCACUUUUGACUUAAUCUUCGCUGACGUGGCACCCAUAAUGGUCGACACGUGACACCUCACUUAAGGGAUGUGGGUGCCACGUCAGCGAAUACUAAGUCAAAAGUGGUCUUGGGGGCAAAAACUGCCAAAUAUUCAAUACAUAGAGGGCUGUUUUGUAUUUUAAGUAGUUAGGGGGCCAAAAUCGCAAUUUUUGAAAAGAUAGAGGCCAAAAGUGCAAUUAAGCCUUCUUUGUGAGCUGUUAAACUAGCUGAAAGAAAAAUGAUAAACAGCGAGAAAUAAGUGUUUGCUUGAUUGUAUGUCAAACACUGCGAGAAAUAAUAGAAGUUAACAGUGUGUGUUUAUAGGAAAAACUAAUUCUAUUGGGCAAAACAUCAUUGGUGUACAAGUUUGGUUUAUUAUUUUUUUUUAAUGGAAAAUAAAUACUUUCAUUAAAAAUCAAAUCGAGCAAAAUUAUAAAACAGUACAACAAAACGAGUUUGGUAUAUUGUUGAUACUCUAUAGAUUAAAUUAGUUUAAAAUUUAAAUAUAUUUUAAAAUAAUGAAAAAUAAAAGAUAUUAUAUGCUACUAAACUAUUUUUGAGAGGAAUAUGAUAAUAAAUUAUUGAAUGGUAGAUACGUACUAAACUAUUUUAAAGCGAACUUGCAUGAAUGAUUUUGAUCCGUGUAGGUGCAUUGAAUGAUUACAUAAUGCCAAAGCGGCGUCCACUUAUAGAUAGAAAACAUACAUAUUUUCCAUUUCAGCAUUUUGCUUGUUAAUUAGAAAAAUGAUCCAUAUUCCAUAGACACCUUUUUUGCCAUAUUAUUACUCCACACAAAAAGUAAACCUUGUUGACUGCGACCUCUUUUUAUUUCGUACCGAUUUCCAACCUAUCAAAGGUGGACGAUUAAUCUGACUUGUACGUAAAGACAUGCGCAUUGGCCAAACGUUGUUCCCAUAGGAAUCGAACCCGAUUCUCCUUUUAACAUAUAAACAAAUUAAUCAUAUUAUCAAUACAACUUAAAGUCUUAAUAAAUAAGGUCGUUCUAGCUAACUAUAGAAUGAGUAAUCUCAUUCAUUUUUCUUUUAACAAACUUGACUCUAUAGUUAUUAAAAAAAGGAUUAAAUAUAUUUUUGGUCUCUAUAAAAUUUAGAACUUUUAAGUCUAGUCAAAACAUGCAAAUUUUGGAGCCGAAACAUGAAAGUGUGGUGGUUAUUUAUUAAUAAGUCUAGUCAAAUUUUGGAGCAUGCGGAAAAUUGAUAGGAAGAUUGGUUGCAUGCAAAUGUACGUAACAAAGCAUGCUAAGUGAACACAACAACAACGAGAUCGGCCUACUCUAGAAACUGACAGGAGACAACUAACAUCGGUUGUCUCGUUGGCAUUCACCAGUAACAGGGCGCCUAAUGUGCAACAUUGAUGUCUCAUUCUCCGUCACGCUGAACUAUACAAGGGUUGCUAUGACACUUUGGUCACAACAUAUUUGCUCCACGGAAGUCGGAGAAUCUUUGGAAUUGGUUCAUGCCAUCAAUUGGGUGCAUCGUCUACAACUUCACAAUGUUGAUUUUGACUAAGUAGCAAAGAUAUUUGUAGAUUAUUUCAACAACGGCAACCACAACAUCACAAAAUUUGACACUAUAUUAGAUGAAUGCAAACAUUGUUGUAGUUUAUUUUUCUCAAACUCCCAAAACCCUAAAACCUGUAGAUUUUAACAGACUUGAACAAUUAUCAGAGAAUCUAGGAAUGAAAAUGCUAAAGCAGCGACAACACGGAACCUUAUCCGUUGAAACCUGUAGAACUCAAUAGAUAUGAAUUUUAUUAUGGUUUAAAUAAGUCCCCCGUUUUUAUAAAUAUAUAUUUUGUUUUUAGUCGUCAAAAAAUUUCUUCAAACAAUGCUCCCUCAAAUAUUUUUCGUCUUAAAAAUUGACAAUCGUUGUUUAAGGUUUCACACAUGACGGUGCAUAAGGGAAUAAAAUUGAAAUUAUAGAGACAAAAAAUUACUUUAAAAUAAGUUUUGCUACUUAUAAAUACAUUGGCUUUCGUUUUUAAUUAAUCCCUCUAUAUAUUGCGACAUGUGCAGCCUUUACAACAAGAAUCCAAUUUGUUGGAGGAAGAUAUUAUUAUUAUGGAUAAAACUUAUAAACAGUUCCCUAGGUGCUGUUUUAACUGUUUUCCAAUAAAAUUGAGACAAGUGGAUUACUUAUUCCACGUCUGACCCGCUAUCGAAACUUUGACCUUAAAUCUAUAUCGCUUCCGUUAACCCUCUUGCCUCCGUUAACUUCCAAUGUGAAAGUUGCCUGAAAGACUCCAAUUCACAGGAUUCACUUGCAACAACCACCGACAACCAUGGUAUCUCAAAACUACAAUUAGAUUUUACACCAAUUUUUUUUUUUUUUUUUUCAAUUAAUGAAACCUCUUAAUUUACCUCUCAAAACACCUCUACAUGUUUCACUUUUUUUCAAUCAGAUUUUUAUUUGGGUCCUCAAUGUCUCUCUCGGGAUGUGCCAUUGCAAGAUUCAAAAUAGGAUGUGAAUGUUGUUGAAUGAUUUGUAAGGAUUGGAAGAUCCUUAGUCAAUUGCACAGCAAACGUGAUUUCAUUAAAAAUAGUAAACGAAGAUAAUCUCCACUGUAUCAAAUACUUAGCAUGUCUCACAAAACAAAAAACCACGUAGAUGUAGAAGGGAGGCCAUGGGCAUUUGUUGGAGGUGACAGAGACGCAGUAGCUCCUGGGGAGGAUGCCGGCACGAAAGUUGGUUCGUAGUUGAUGUUGGUCAUGCCAGGAAGAAAGUUGGGCUUUAAUUGUUUCGUAGGUUAACAGCCGUAAAGAGAGAGUUAACGAAAGAUUAGAUGACUAUAUUAAGAAAUCCACUUGUCACAAAUUUAUUGGAGAACAGUACCAACAGCACAUAGGGAACUGCAUCUAAGUUUUGUCCUAUUAUUAUUUUUAAAUGAAAUUGGAGGAAGAUAUUUAGGGGACCAAUGUUUGAAAUAAAUUUAGAGAAACUAAAAAUUUAUAAGAACAAAAGACUUAUUUAACAAUCUUUAAUGAACUGAGAUUGUUAAUGAAGCUUGUGUUGACAAUCGUCAUUUUGAUGAUGCUUUAAUUGCAAGUGUGUCUUUCCUGCAUAUUGUUUCUCUCUUUAUAAAAAUUGUAUCAUGAAACUUUUUGAUUUGCAUUGAAUCGACUCAUUUUAAUUUGAAUCGUAUCAAUCUUUAUUCUGGGUAAUUUAAAUCGAUUCAACUUUUGCCUGAAUCGCAUCAAUCUUCAUGUUCUUCUCGCUUGUAUUUAUGUUGUCUGAAUCAAUUCAUACUUUUAGUGAAUUGAUUCAAAUAGUUAUUUUUGGACGAAAAUUUGCACCUGCACUCAUUUACUAUAUACCCAUUCUCUCAUAACUCCCAUUUCAUUGAACCAUUUGCAUCUAUUCUCUCUAGGUCUCAAAAACUCAUUGUUCAUAAAUUCUUCAAGAUUAAACACUUUUUCUUAGAAUCACUUUGUACAUUGAGUCACAUUGAUUUGCUAGGGUGCUUAUCGGGAUUGUAAGUUGGUUCUCUCAAGGAAAUUGGUUGGGCUUAAUCAAGGUUCCAAAGUGAAGUGAAUAAUCUCAUUCCACCUCCAUAGGGCUUGUGGAUUCUUUCUAAUUGUUCUUGCAAUCGAAGGGGAAUCGUUUACCGGACGCAGUAUCGCAGACUUGAGUGAAGAGUCUGAAGGGGUGCACGGGUAAUCAAUGAUUCGAUGAUUCAAGGAGCACCAAAUUCAAAGGUUAUUUGAAGUUUGGGGGAGUGUUUACAUAGGGGUUUUUCAAGGAACUCUUGGUGGAGACGUUUUUUACCAAGAAGAGUAGACGGUGUUAUCUCUCUUCCUUAUCCUCUUUACUUUCAAUUGUUGCAUAUGUUAAUUGAUUAAUUGUUAGAGUAGAAACUUGUAUUGAUCUAAGUUGUUUUUGAUAAAAAUUUAAUUUAAUUCUUUGAAUUAGAUUUUAGUACUUACCUUGGAUCAAUUGGUUUCAAUUACUAUUCAAUUCUUCAAUUGCAUAUGCCAUGUGUUUUUGAUUGAUAGCUUGUUAUAUUUUCAUAUAGGUUUGGUUUUGAAAUUGUCUAGUUUAGCAACUUGUUCAAGAACCAUUUACUUUUGAUUCUAAUAAGAUUUGUAUUGUGAAUCUCUCAAUUUUAUAUUGUAUUUUAUUAGCACAUAGCAUUAUCUUUUUGUGAAUUGUUAUGAUUGUUCAAGCUUUUUUCCAAUAGUCAAAUCAAUUCAAAUCGCUUUUUGUUAAAACUUCAAAAAACUUUAUCAAAACACUAUUCACUCCCCUCUAGCGUGCAACCUUAUUGGCCAUAUCGACCAACAAUUAAUUAAGUGGCAACAUAAUAUAUCUUGUACAAAAUUGGGGUAUAUGUUUAGGGAGUAAUUGUUGAGGCAAAAUCCCUAAUUAAUUUUAAAGAUAAUAAACCAAUAUGAUUAAAGAAUUAAUGGACUUUGAUUAAUUCCUUGGUAUUUAACUUGUGCUCUUGAGUGUUUUACUAAGACAUGAACAAGGUUUAGAUCAUACCAAGAAUCAAGAAAUCAAAGGACAUUUGAACUCAUGAUCUAACACUGAGGUCAGAAAGUUAGAUCAGAAUGUUGCUUGAAGAUCAGAAUGUUCAAGCAGAGAUCAGAAGGUUGUUCUUAAACAAGCCAAGAGUCUCAAGAACUUUGAUCAAAGGUCAUGCAAGGCACAUGUGACAUGGGUAUAUGUCCAGAAGAGUAUAUUUGCAUGGAUCAAUCAAGCAAUAAAGGCAUAUACAAGGGUUAUGUCAAAGAAGGCAUUCAAUGUUCAUUUAAGACUAUGAACAUUGAUGUACUAGGAAUAUUUCACAAAGGAAUAUCAUCCUAGAUGUUAUUAUCACUGCUCUUCAUUAUUGUUUCACUAUUAGGAUUUGAUUACAUCAAAUGAUAGUCUUACAAAUCAUCCUAAGUGAAACAGAUGGAACAUUCUGAUGAUCAGAAUGUUCAAGCUCAGCUCAUGCUUACUUUAUGAACAGUAUAGUAGGUGAAAAGCAAAAAGCAAAAGCAAAGCAAAUAUGUCAUCUUCAACAAGAGAUAGACACGUCUGAGAGUUGGUACUGAACAAGGACAACACAAUCUCUCAAAGCAUGGGCAUGAAGAUGCAGAAUCCCACUAAAUCCUCCUGCACCGGUUCCAAGACAAAAUCUGGGAAAGGAACAUUCUGAUGUAUGAAGAAAAGUCCAUACAUUGGUUAUUGUCCAGAAAUUCAUAUGAAAAGCAUAUGCAUAGCCCAGAACUUCAUGUGUUCAUUCAUACAUGAUGAACCCAGAUGAAGAACAUGAUGAACCCAGAUGAAGAUCAUCAUGAACACAACAACAUUCUGAUGUUCAUCAGAGAUCAGAAUGUUUGCCCAGAAUUUCAAGUUAAAGCUUGUGGGACCCAGGACACAUGGCAUAACACCAUUGGACAUCCUACAACGGCUAUAUGAGCCCAAAGACUCUAUAAAUAGAGAUCAAGGCAUUAGCAAAACUUGCACCAUUGCAAAGCAUACAAGAAAACAACUCUGAUUUUGUUUGAAGCUUUUGCAAACUGAAAUUGAUCAAUCUCUAAGUCUUUCAUCAACUUAGUGCAAAUCAAUACUCUUGUUAUCUGUAUGAUAACCUCUUCUUCUUCUUCCACUGUUUGUUUUACAAACAUCCAACUUCCAUACAAAUUGUAACAAAGUCUCAUCUAGCUUUUAGAGGUCCUAAAGUGUUAGGUUGAGCAAAGGUUGUAAAAGUCUAAGUGGUUAACUUAGCAAGAAGGUGCAAGCUUGCUGAGGCUUAGAGAAUACAUGAUUGUAAUUGUUCAGGUGAACAAGAUUGUAAGGUGCAGGACUUGAGAGGUUAUCUCAAGCAUCUUAGUGGAAACUCUCACAGGAUUGUGGGGAGUGGACUAGCCCACAUUGGGUGAACCACUAUAACUCUUUGUGUGUUCUUUCUUUCUUCUCUAUACUCUUUUAUUUACAGUAUACACAACACACACUUACACUUAUACUUUAGUAAACAAUUUUGUUUAUGAACUUCAGAACAUUCUGAAGUCAGAAAGUUAACAUAAUUCCAAGUAAACAACUUGAGAAUCAUUUUUAAGUUUCAGGAUAAUUUUUAAAGGGUCACAAUUCAAACCCCCCCUUCCUUGUGACUAUUUUAUCUACUUCAAUUGGCAUCAGAGCCAGACUCUAAGGGUUUGAACACUUAAACAAGUGUUAGAGAAAAGAUUCAGGAAGUAUGUCUAAAGUCAAAUACAUAGCUGAAGGAGGAUCUUCAAAUAGACCACCACUUUUUGAUGGAUCAAACUACUACUUUUGGAAAGGCAAGAUGAAACUCUUUCUCAGAUCUCAAGACAAUGAUAUGUGGGCAGUCAUCACAGAUGGAGACUUUGUUCCAACAACCAAAGAAGGAGCUGUCAAAGCAAAAAGUGCAUGGUCAACAGAUGAAAAAGCUCAGGUAUUACUAAACUCUAAAGCUAGACUCUUUCUAUCAUGUGCACUAACCAUGGAAGAAAGUGAAAGAGUUGAUGAAUGUACAAAUGCUAAAGAAGUAUGGGAUACUCUGAAAAUACAUCAUGAGGGUACAUCUCAUGUCAAAGAAACUAGAAUUGACAUUGGAGUCAGAAAAUUUGAAGUCUUUGAAAUGAGUGAAAAUGAAACCAUUGAUGAGAUGUAUGCCAGAUUUACUACAAUAGUAAAUGAAAUGAGAUCUCUUGGAAAGGCAUAUUCUACUCAUGAUAAAAUUAGAAAAAUACUGAGAUGUCUUCCAAGUGUGUGGAGACCUAUGGUCACUGCAAUCACUCAGGCAAAAGAUUUAAAAUCUAUGAACCUGGAAGAUCUCAUUGGUUCACUAAGAGCUCAUGAAGUUGUACUUCAACGAGACAAACCAGUGAAGAAGGUAAAAACACCUGCUUUGAAAGCAUCUCAGCAAACCCCAUCAGUUGCUGAUGAAGAUGUGCAAGAACCACAAGAAUUAGAAGAAGUUCAUGAAGAAGAAGCUGAAGAUGAACUUGCACUAAUCUCUAAAAGAAUUCAAAGGAUGAUGUUGAGAAGAAAUUAGAUCAGAAAGAAGUUUCCAAAGACCAACAUCAGCAUCAAAACUGAAGCUGACAAAAGUCAAGUCACUUGCUAUGGAUGCAACAAAACUGGACAUUUCAAAAAUGAAUGUCCUGACAUCAAAAAGGUUCAAAGAAAACCUCCUUUCAAGAAGAAAGCAAUGAUCACUUGGGAUGACAUGGAUGAAUCAGAUUCUCAAGAAGAUGCAGAUACAGACAUGGGACUGAUGACUCAGUCAGAUGAUGAGGAAGAGGUAAUUAUCUAUAAAACUGAGUCUCUAUAUAAAGAUCUUGAAAAUAAAAUUGAUAGUCUCUUAUAUGAUUCAAACUUCUUAACUAAUAGAUGUCACUCUUUAAUUAAAGAACUUUCUGAGAUAAAAGAAGAAAAAGAAAUACUUCAAAACAAGUAUGAUGAGUCUAGAAAGACCAUAAAAAUUCUGCAAGAUUCUCAUUUUGACAUGUCAGAAAAACAAAGAGAGAUAAACAGAAAACAAAAAGGCAUUAUGUCUGUACCUUCUGAAGUACAAAAGGAAAACAUACUUUUGAAAAAGGAAGUUGAAACAUUGAAAAAGGAUCUGACAGGGUUUAUAAAAUCUACAGAAACUUUUCAAAACAUAGUAGGAUCUCAAAAUGAAAGUACUAAGAAAUCUGGCUUAGGCUUUAAGGAUCCAAGCAAAAUUAUUGGAAGUUUUGUACCUAAAGCUAAAAUAAGAGUUAAAUGUUGUUUCUGUGAUAAGUAUGGACAUAAUGAAUCAGUAUGUCAUGUUAAGAAAAAAUUUAUCAAACAAAAUAAUUUAAAUCUUAGUUCAGAACGUUCUCAUCUCAAUAUAUCAGAAAGUUCACAAAAGGCUGAAAAGGCUAAGAAGACAUGUUUCUACUGUAACAAAUCUGAUCAUAAAAGACAGAAUGUUACUUUUAGAAAAGAUCUCUUAGAAGAACUAACCCUCAAGGACCCAACAUUACAUGGGUACCUAAAUUUUUUAUCUUGUCAAAUGUAGGUCCUGCCUCAGGGUGCAAGAACAAAACCAUGGUACCUGGAUAGUGGUUGUUCUAGGCACAUGACAGGUGACAGGAAUUGUUUUCUAACUUUUGAAAAGAAGGAUGGAGGACUAGUGACAUUUGGAAACAAUGACAAAGGUAAAAUCAGAGGUAAAGGUACUAUAGGUAAUCUUAACUCUGCUAAAAUAGAAAAUGUUCAGUAUGUGGAAGGUUUAAAACAUAAUCUACUUAGCAUAAGUCAAUUGUGCGAUAGUGGAUUUGAAGUUAUCUUUAAACCUAACAUAUGUGAAGUCAGACAAACCUCCUCUAACAAAUUGUUUUUCUCUGGUUCAAGAAGAAAGAACUUAUAUGUUUUAGAACUGAAUGAUAUGCCUGCUGAAUCUUGUUUUAUGUCUCUUGAAAAAGACAAAUGGAUCUGGCACAAAAGGGCUGGUCACAUAAGCAUGAAAACCAUUGCUAAACUUUCUCAACUUGAUCUAGUUAGAGGUUUGCCUAAGAUUAGCUUUGAAAAGGACAAAAUCUGUGAAGCAUGUGUUAAAGGUAAACAAGUAAAAAGUAGUUUUAAAACUAUUGAGUUUAUCUCAACUCAGAAACCUUUAGAGCUUCUUCAUAUUGAUCUUUUUGGUCCUGUUCAAACUGCAAGUCUAACUGGCAAAAGAUAUGGAUUUGUUAUUGUUGAUGAUUUCUCCAGAUUUACAUGGGUUCUAUUUUUAAAACAUAAAGAUGAAUCUUUUGAAGCAUUUCAAAACUUUUGCAAAAGAGUUCAAAAUGAAAAAGGUUAUAAUAUCAUCACAGUUAGGAGUGAUCAUGGAGGAGAAUUUGAAAAUGCAUCCUUCAAAACAUUCUUUGAUGAAAAUGGUAUUAAACAUAAUUUUUCUUGUGCAAGAACUCCACAACAAAAUGGAGUUGUUGAAAGAAAAAAUAGAACCUUGCAAGAAAUGGCAAGAACAAUGUUAAAUGAAUCAAAUGUUGAAAAUUACUUUUGGGCAGAAGCCAUUAACACAUCUUGUUACAUUUUGAAUAGAGUUUCUAUAAGAAAGGUUCUUAACAAAACCCCAUAUGAACUCUGGAAAAAUAUUAAACCUAGCAUAUCUUACUUUCACAUAUUUGGCUGCUAUUGUUACAUAUUGAACAAUAAAGAAAAAUUUUGGUUGGUUAGUGGAUAUAAAAUUUUGCUUGACUUUUAAAUAUCCUCCCGCAAAUAAAUGGUGGGAUUUAACCUCACGAAUUAAUUGGUCCUCAUAUCAUAUAUCAAGUUUUUUUUUUUUUUUAAGAAAAAAAAGAACAAUGCCGGAGACUAAUAUCUCAUAUUUUCUUCAUUAAAUCAAUCCCCGCUAGAAGACUGUUCUGUUACGAAUACGACGGUUAUUUUCUCUCAGCGGUGCAGUGACAAUGGAAUACAUUUGUGCCGUCGAAGAUAAGUGUGUUUGGAUGGAGAUUACUCUAAGACAAGUUACCAAUGCAAGUGGAAUUGUGGAGACGAAGCGUCAUUUGUGAUGUGCAUCAACAAUGUUGUGUAUUUUGUUUUAAUGAAAUUGAAACACCUGAGUAAUUUGUUUGCAAGUUGUACAAAGACAAAGAUAACUUGGGAUUGUAUUUUCAAAUGGUUGAAUAAUAUUUUUGGUUCUUGACAUAACAACUGCAGUUGCUGCCACUGAUGAAAAGUUAUAUACAUAUCAGGUAAGUUUCUGUUGUUUCCUCCUCAGCCCUCUGCACUUAUUUUUUUUCUUAUCCCUUCUUUUUCUUUUUUGAUUCAUUCUUCCAAUAGUUACUUACUUACUUUAUGUAUGCCAUGGUUUUUCAUACUCUCUUUUCUGAUUCAUUCUUACGUUACUUUAUACAUGUCAUGGUUUUCAUACACAUAAAGCAUCCAGUCAAAUACCUAUAGGCAAUUUUUGAACCGAAAACCCCUUCAAUAAGGCAUCCUAUAAAUCAAUUGAAUACAAGUCCCACAUCGGAGAAUUAAACAUUUGGAAAGGGUAUUAUCAAGUAUAUAAGAGUAAACUGAAAUGCAUUAAUUGGACAUAAGAUUCAAUCAUAUGAAUUCUCUCUUUAUCUUUAUCUUUCUCUUCCUCUCUUAGUUUUACUCUUUGGUGAAAAUAAAGAAGAGGAAUGGAAAGGAAAAUUAAAGAGAUGAUUCAAUUUGAAAAUCUUUCUUAAAUUUUGAACGUAUGCAACAAUAAUACAUUUUAAAUAAAUUUAAAAUAAAUAAAUUUUUAAAAUAUAAGAAUAUAAAUAUAAUUGGAGUCCCCACAAAUUAAGUACUCAUGGUUUGGUGGCUUAGUCUAGAACAAAUUGAACCUCUUGAAUUAGUUAGGCAUUGAGUUAGAUAUUGAAUUUUCAAAACCAAAAAAAAAAAAGAACACCGCAAAAGAUAAAUCUCAUCAUAUAAAGAAGGUAAUAGUAAAAAAUUUU